RNAcentral lists this long non-coding RNA (56105 nucleotides) under Brassica napus (rape). Its description in RNAcentral is "long non-coding RNA (BNAP_LNC005424)". Lineage: Eukaryota; Viridiplantae; Streptophyta; Magnoliopsida; Brassicales; Brassicaceae. The record is from RNAcentral.
UUUUGAAUAGUUAAGAAUUCUAAUAAAAAAUGUUUGUCCAAUGGUAUAUCUAAUUAGGAGUUCUUAGGUAUAAUCUUGUCCCAUGUUUCCUUCACCUGAAAGAGAUUUACAAGAUAGAAAUUAGACAUCAAAAGUAAUCAACUUGUUCUCCUAUACAAUCGAACUUAUUCCCCUAUACGUUCACAACAUUAAAAAAUCUGACUUAUAAACAAUCUGAAAAGAAUCUGAAACCGUAAAGAAUUCACAACAUUAAAGAAUUUACAGAGCACACAGUAGUAAUACUAAUCUAUGAGAAGAAGAUAGUACUUCUGGGUAAACAAUCUGAAGAACACAACACUCCAAUCGUAAUGAAUCACAGAGUCGAAAUCUUAACAACACAACACAACACAACCCUCUUUGAACUACAAACAAAAAUCGUUUUCAAACACUAACUACAAACGAAGACUUUCCCAAAUCAAUUCAAACACAAAUCGUUUUGAAACCCUAAUAGAUUGACUCUUUCAAAAUAAGAGAAGAAGAUAAUCCCAAAUCGCAUGAAACCAAAAUCGUUUUCAAACAUUAAUGUACCUAUGUCCACAAAUUUUCAAACUAAGCAGGUUUAAGAAUCAUGGUUAGAGUUUAAAAAGAAUUACUAAUCAGAUUUAAGAAUCAUGGUUAGAGUUAAAAAAAAUUACUAAUCAGGUUUAAGAAUCAUGGUUAGAGUUAAAAAUAAAAUUACUAAUCAGGUUUAAGAAUCAUGAUUAGAGUUUAAAAAAAAUUAAUAAUCUCAAACCAAUGAGACAGCGCCAACACAUUAAGGACUUCGUCCUUUUAAUCCUUAGUUAAGGAUUCAUUCUUAACUUUUCUUAACUGUGCACCAUUUUUUAAUGUUUAUUUAAUGAUAAAGUGCUAAGGAUUAUAGCUAAGGAUUUGCUAUAAUCCACCAUUGUACAUGCUCUUAAGCUCUCUGUUGCCUCUGUUUCUGUCAUCAACAACGGGUAAACAAAUGAUAUGGGUCUAUUUGGGCAGUCUAGUCUCCUCCAGGUAGCAAUGAGCCUGUUUUAAUCAUAUUAGAACAACAAUUAAGUUAUAAGCAGCUAAAAGAUCAAAGCUCGAAAUUUCAUAUAUAUAUAAUUAUUAUUUAUUAAGAUUCAGUUUAACUAAAAAUCAUUUCAAUCUGUAUAUCAAACUCUGUUAGAAAAAAAAAUAUUUAGAUAUCAAAUUAUUUAGUUGAUCAAAAAAAAAAUCAAAUUAUUUAAUAUUUUAUUGGUUAAAAAGGCUCUGACCUUGGGAGAUGGUUACAAGUAGCUCGUUAGCUCGUCUCCUUGUUUGUUGUUGUUCAUCGCUCUCCCUCAGACUCGCUUAAGAAAGCAAGCUGCUUUGAUCUAUCUUCCUCGUCUCGUUUCUAAUUGUAAGUUUUUUUAUUCUCUCUUUUUAUAAAUCUCAGAGUAUAUCAUCAGAGAUCGAUAAACCCCGGAUAUGCUCGUAAAGUCUUUAGCUUUAUAAAAUACAAAAAUUGUUGGAAUGUUUAAGUAGUUCCCACCUUUAUUCCAGUCUUAAGACUAUAAGCUGGACAAGCAAAUUUGUUGUAUAUCUGAAAUUUAUGUUGUCAGGUUGCUUGGUAGCUUAAAUGGGUUCAUCUGAGAAGAGAUCGAAGGAUGUCGUCAUGAAUGACAUACCAACCUUCAGUGCUGAGAAUUUUCAGAAGAACCUCAAAGUCAUUCAGAACAGGUCUGUCUCAUUCAAUAUCCCAAUCCUCUCUCUCUCUCUGGUUUUCAAUUCUUUCAUGUUUUUGACCAUGUUGUUGUUGUGUCUUGUUUUGCAGCCGGACCUUUCUGUCUAUUAUUGCUGGAGUCCUUGCAGGAAUUAUUGGAUUCACUGGCUUGACCGGCUUUGUGUUUUACACUGUGGUGAUGCUGAUCACAUCACUUGGGCUCAUGGCCAAGGCAGGCUUCUCAGCUGACGUGUACUUUGAUUCAUGGAACCGGGUCCUUUUUGAUGGCUUCCUUGGUGGCCUUAUGGUACACUAUAUUUUCCUUUUUCUUGCAACUCCUCCGUUAAGUUCUUGUAUGUAACCUUUCAAAUCUCACACUAAUCAUCACUGUAUUGUUUUCUCUCUUUUUUUGGCAGUCCUUUGUGCUCUUCUGGACGUAUCCUUUUUAAUCUCAAUAUCUGGUGGUCAAACUAAGUUUUAUGAUUAGCUGUACACGAAAGAACAUAUCUAGUGUAGGUGAAAUUGAUAACUUUGUUUAGACAUCAUCACUCAUAUCUGUUUCCUUGACGAUGGCUUAGAUUUGCUUACGACUUGGUGCACAUUUUCUGAGGGAUCUUCAGCCACCAAACGAGGAUGGUUGAAACAAGAAGUUACGUAGUUUGUGAGUUUGGUUUUUGCAGCCUCUUUAAGUAACUUUAUAGAUUGGACAAUGUGUUUCUGUCUCCCUUUUUGUUAACAACAGAUUAUGAAGCUGUCUUGCUUUUAUUGUUUCCAACUCACUUGAGAUUACAUCAGCUAUGAAGCUUUUUGAUUCUCAAUAGUUCAACUAGUUUCAUCUCCCUUUCUUAAGUAUAUCUGAAUAUGCAUACUGAGAUGAAAUAGGUCAAAGUAGACAAAAAUUGAAGGUAUAUCCAACUUCAAAAGUAUGACAAUGCAAGACCACUCAAGUUCUCAGUUACUAACUGAAUUGUAAAGAUUUAAACUAUCAAAACUUUAAGAUCAUUAAACAUUUUCUCUCAACGAGCUUUCUGUAACACCCAUCCUGAAGAGUGGGUUUCACAGAGGUCGUGCAUCACCUGCGCAGAACCAAUAGAUAAUCAGACCAAAACCAAACUUGCUUACUUUAUAACAUUAAAAAUGAAAGAGAGUUAAAAGUGAAAGAGAGCUGAAAGUGAAACCUUCUGGUAUUCAUUAUUGGUGAUUUCACGUCCAAGUAUGCUCCUGCCUGCUGCAAACACAUCAGCUUUCAUAAUCUUCGCUCCAGGUGGAUUCCCAAGUAAAAGAUUGAUCACCACGUCCCUGAUGGUAAAAAAACAAAGACAUUAUUACAGCUUCAACAUAAAGAACAAACAUUAAUGUUCCAACACAAAAAAAAAAAAAAAAAAAAAAGAACCUGAGUGGAUCAUAUUCUGGAUGGUCUUGAGACGACUUGGAGACAAAAGAGCCGUGAAUAUCAACAGUCACUUCACUGAUAACGACUUUGAGCUCUUCUUGGUAAGAAUCCACAGCCAACGCCACUUGUUGCGCCAUCCCUGAAUCAACUCUCGGAUUAUUCGAAGUAGCAACCGCAAGAUCCCUAAGUCUCUGGCAAAUCGUCUCGUAGCUGCAAACUUUCUGCGUCUGAAACACCUUCUUCAAGGCCUUUGGUAUCGCCCUCUUGAUCUCAUCAGGCAUCUUCUGUCUAGGGACACGAGGUAUAGCACUUCUCGAACUUCCUCCUACCUCAGAGACCGUUGCUGCUGCGACCUCUUGUUUAGCUGUAGUAGCUGAAGGAUUAUUUUUUCCUACAGCAUUCCUCAAGUUACUAUCACCACCUCUACCUUUACCUCCUUGUAUUAUCUUUGGCUGCAACUUCUCUUCCAUACCCUUCCAAAACAUUGCUUGCUCCUCUGCAAUCUUCUUGUGGGAUUUGAUGAAGGAGACAUCAGUGGGCUCUUUGAACUUCCAAUCACAUAGCAAAGGCCUUUCUUUGGCGAAUACAUUCAACAUGGUUUUGAUCUUGUCGGCAUAGCGACUUGCUUUAACUUCGGAGUACUUUAUGGUUAGACGCUGGCUGAAAAGGGAUAGGACAUAGUCUCUGAAGCCUUCCAAGCCGUCUAGCUUUAGUAGCCUGGUUUUGGGAGUCCAUAGGCCUUGAACUAGACAGGCGUAUUGUUGGAGGACCUUUAAGAACUCCUCGUCUGAUAACUCUGGGGCGUAGUGCUUGAGAACACUGUAUCGAAAUAACGGUGGUCCCUGUUUCUGUUUUUGAGUGAACAAGGUAGUUAGACGGAGCAUUGAUCCAUAUAAACUUCAUCUAGACGGAGAAACAAUAGCCACUAACCUGGCAGAGCAACGUUUGCAGACGUUCUUCAAGCGGUAGGGAGGCCAACAACCUGAAAGAAGAAGACUAUGUUAUAAAGGAGCUUGCAAAUGCUGACUCGUUGACACAUGAGACCAGACAUUUUGGAUAAACUGCACCUUUUUGAUAAACUUUUUGACUCAGAGUUUCUGCUGUUAUCUCCACGGCACAGUGAGUUGAUAUAAGCAUCGCUUCAAUUGGAUAAAAAAAAGUUUAAGGUGAGAAAGGAAAACAAACACAUAUUGCAUCAAGCGAAGAGUGAAAAAGGAAGAGAUCAUACGGGGUCAUGUUGAAGUCUAUUGAAGAGGUGCCAUUAGCCAUCAUUCCGCUAAGGUAUCUGGAGCAAUAUUCGGAUUGGAGUCCAUGAUACUUGAGUGAAACCCACUUCCAAAAGAAAGAAGAAAGAGAGAGAGGUAUAAGUUUACCAAACCAUAUCUAACAACAACUCAAGAGUAAAAGAAAAGAUCAUACUUCUUCAGGAACUGGUUUCUGAUCCGUUGAAGCCUGCGCUCCCUUGUUCUGCCACAUAAUGUAAUUAGAUUCAAGAUUAGAAUCAUGUAAACGGUGGCAUAAGUAGCCAAAUCCAUACCUGUCUUUUUGAAGUUCCGGCAGAUUCUUCGGUAGCUUCUGCUUGAUUCUUUUUGGAAGAAAGAUACUGCAUAGAAGGUCGGAGCUGAACAACAGCAUGAACAGGGUUCAAGUGUAACUGCAAGUCAAACAAAGUCCAAAUUCAAUAAGGUAUCACAAGAAUGUUGUUAUCAAAGCUUAGGAAAGAGAGAAGACAAUAAUAAUACCUUAUCACCUGAAAGAACCCCAACAGCAUAAUCCAAAGUAGGAGGCUGCUUCCAUGUUGUUGUCAAUGUCUACCAAAUACAAAAAAAAAAGACAAAAUGAAAGAUGCAUCAAAACAGAUUAAACUUGAAUUCUAACUUUGGAGCUAAGAAUCUGACCUGUUUAGUCAUACGUAGUUUACUUCCAAAGUCAGGGUCAUAGUUGCUCGAAUGAACAUCCAUUGACAAAUCAAUCUCCACCUGGGAGGUAGAAGGAUUCACUCUAACCUUUAAAGACACAUAAACAAACAAAACAUUAGAACAUUAAAAUAAUACAAACAGAAGAAUAAGUAACACUCACUUCUUCACACCGUUCAUCCAUUUCGUAAGCACGCCAAGACGGUCUUAGAGGAUAUUGUAGAACAUAAAGCUGUGACCUCAUUACACAAAAAAAUUAGCCAAAAAUCAUAUAAAUUUGAAGAAUCUAAUCACUAGCACUACUAACCUUAGUGUUGGCAUCAAUAGAGGGAUUAAAGAAAACGUCAAUUUCACGAACAACAACGUCUUCUUCUUCCUUCUCCUUCUCCUCCUCCUGAUGCAGUGGAAGCUGAUGAUGAUCUUCCUCCAUCAACUCAACCUCCGUAGUCUCCGGCUCCUUGUCCACUUUUGCAUCAAUCUCCAUCUUAACAGCGCCAUUGAAGACCUCAGGCUCAACCUUGGGAUGGUCAGAGACUUUGGUGGCAUCGACGUCGUGCUCACUCUUGCUCACAGACUCGGUUUGUGAAGACGGCUCAGCUUUCUCCGAAGCAGUUGGUUCGGGUUUAGGUUUGGGUUUGGGCUUCCCAGCACGGCCAGGAGCAAACCUCCUGGCUUUGGGGACCUCUUUUGGCUUGUCUUCGUCAUCAAAGUCCAUUCCUUUUUUUUCUAUGGAUUAAAGAUUUCGAUUAGACUGUGGAUUCCGACCAAACUCAAAACGUUAUUACAAGCUCGCUAAGUGGGAAAAGAUUGAAACUUUUUAACAUCAGUAACGAAACCCACUAGUUAUAAAUCCUAAUCGAUAAAUCUUGGAACUGAAACUAAUCUUAGAAGAAGCGGAACUGGGGAAGAAAGAACCUGGUGAUGAUCAGUUAGGAGGGUAAGGAGAAAGAGGACGUCUUGUAGUUGUAGAUCCUCCGAGCAAGUGAAGAGGAAGAAAAAGAAAGGAAAAAAAAAACGUCGGGGAGGUUCGAAACGGUGACUUGUUGGGUGGCAAAAGAGGCGAAUUUAUCCAACUGUGCCGCAGACAUCAUUAGGGUUUCUUGGAAAUUCUAAAUAUAUAAAAAGGUAUUCUAAGGGAAUCACAUUUGUACAUUGAGUGUAUUUUAACAAUUAAAAUAAAUUACAUGAAAAUAUUUGUAUGUCAAAUAUGUAUAUUAUGUCUUGCAGAAAUCUAUUUUUGUCUACUAUAGUUAACAAUAAAAUACUUGUGCAUAUCAACAAUAAGACAUUUUUGCAAGAUGUGAUAUUUAUUUGGACUCAAUAGCCAAAGUUAAAUGCAUUAAUGCAUACCCCAAAAACACACAUAUCACUAUCUUUACCCUCUUCUAGUUAGUAUUAAGAAUCAUACUCUCGAGUAGAUAAAGAAAGAGAGCUAUCGAUUUCACCUUUUAAAGAACACAUGCGCAUAAGUUUCAAAAAUAAAAGAACAUUUGCACAUGUAGCCCAAAUCUCAGAUCAAAGUUAUUAAACAGUUUUCUUCAAAUUUUGUUUUUUUAGUAAAAUUUUCUGGACAAAAUCAGAAUAAUUCAACUAAAUUUAUAAAAGCCUGAGUUUUCUGCCACUAAAAACGUUGGCAACUAGUCAAUCCAAAACCACAGCAAAAAGAUUCCACCCUUGGCUUAGACCCACACAAAUUAGAAAAUGAUUUUUUAAGUGUAUAUAUAUAUAUAUAUAUAUCACUCGUAAAUGAAAACGUUAGAAAAUGCUAGUGAAACGAACAAACCCAUAAUUAGUUGCCGACAAAAAAAGACCAUAAUUAGUUUCCUCCGUCCAAACCAAACCAUAUGAGAGAAGAGAGGAUCUAUACCAAGGAGAAUACGUGAUAAGUAAAGAGUAGAUUGUGUGUUGUCAUCCUAACUUGAAUCAGAGUGAACACCAUUUUCAACUUGUUGGCAAUUCAGCAUAAUUAAUCUAUCAGAAGACUUAUCCAGAUGAAAAGCUUGAGCAGUGAGUGUACCAAACAUCCAAAUGCCUAGUCUAUGCUAUGCCUAGCAUCUCCUAUAAUUAAUUGGAGAAAUAUGUAGUAUCAACAAAAGACAAUGAUCACUAGUGCAUAUUUUGUACAUUCAUGUCAUGUACAUACAUGUCGUGUACAUAUUAUUAAAGAAAUGUACAUUUGCAUAACGUAAAAUAUAUUUUUAAGAGUUGUUGUAAUAUUAAUGAUGUGGGAUAAGUUUAAUUCUUUAGUAGUUGUAGUAUUUAAGAUGUCAAUCCAAACUCUAGAGGAUUUCAAGAACUAAGAAUACAUGUCAUUUAGCUCAAUCUAAAUGCAAUCAAUUGGUUAUUUGUUGGUAACAUGUAACAAUAUGAAACAAGACAGUAACUGAAAGAUUUAUAUAAUAUGACAAAGCAGAACCCAUGGGUGGUAGAUAAAUGAUUCAAGAUAACUAGUUCCAAAUCAAGGUGUACAACUUCAGACAAUCUUAAUACAUAAAACUAUGCAAAAUCACAAUACAUCGUUUACCAAAAAUAAAUGUUGAUUUUCUCCAAAAAAAUGCAAUUUUGUAUAUAUGGUUUGGAAUUGGAAUGUACAAAUGCAACAUGAUUAUACACAUUAUAUUUCAGAUGUGUAAAAUCAAAACAAAAAAUAUCAGGAAACACAAAAGAUGAAAGUGGUGUACAUAAUAUAUUGGUGAUUUUAAUGGUUUUCACAAACAUCAACAUGUACACUUAAUUAAUAAACAUGUACACUUAGAAUGUACAUAUGUACACAUCUCUACGUGUACGCGAUUUUUAAAAAUAAUUAAUUCAUUAAUAGCAUAAUCGUAAUUAUGUCAUCUUCUUCCCAGUUCCUUAGGGUUACGAAUUUUGCAGAAAUUGUGAAUUUUUAGCUCAUUGGCAUCUUGAACGGAGGAGCUGAGGACAUAGAAGAGGAGGAGAAUUGGAGCUUUUGGACUGUAACUCGUUUUUGACCUGUCAACUACAAACACCAAAAGAAUCAAUUUUUCUUUAGCUUUCAUCAUCUAGGGUUUCACAGUUCUUGAAUCCAAAACUCAAAUUCAUCAAUGUACGUGUCUUCGACAACAAUUUGCUCUUAUUUUUUUUGGAUUUUUUUCCCUGCAAAUUGUACGCAUCUUAGUAUUGUUCAUUGUCAUUUCGCAUAAUUGAACCCCGCUGUCGGGUUGUCGAUUAGUGAUAUAAAUGUGAAGCUACUUGAAAAAAUAAACAGCAUCUCGUAUGAGAUUUAAAAAAGAAAAUGUCAGAGUAAAAUCAAAAAGGGAGAGAGAAAGAUGCUAGAACCCACGUGCCUUUUAAAUGCUUAAUUGGUUAACUUUAUAGUUAGUUAGCUUAUUCAAUUAGUAUAUAGGUAGAAAGUGGGUUUUGGUUAGAAAAAACUGCUCUAGUAGCAAGAAGUGUCUUAUAGUGUUAUAAAAAACUUAAAACUGUCAUAUGGUGUAAUAUUCUCGCAUAUAAUCGAUGGCCAAAGCAAUAAUAGUCAAAGUGUGGGACAAAUGCAAAAAACCUCUAUUUUUUAUUUUAAAAUAGAAUUUUGAGUAAAAAUGUUUCAAUAAUACUCUAUUUUUCACUCUAUAAUAGAGAACAAAAUAUGUUUACUCCAAAUAUAAAGUAUUUUUUUUUGUUCAUCACUUUAUUUUCUAUUUUAAAAUAGAAUAUCAUUAGAGCAAAUUUAAAUUAUAUUAUAGAAUUAUUCUAUUUUAGAGCGAAAAUACAGUAAACUAUUGGAAACAGUGUUACAAUGGAAGCAUGAAACACGAGCGGUCAUAUAUGGGACCAAGAUAUCAAACAAACAUUUAAGUUGUUAUCCUCGCAAAAGAAACGAAAAAAGAGAAUAGUAGAUCCAACCAAUAUUAGUGACAGAAGAAAAUGCCACAUGUCAGAAAAUAAAAUGUUAAAACGAUUUUUAGCAAUAAAAUACAAUAAGAAAUACAGUUAAAACGGUUUUAAAUACUAGUUUGAUACAAAAAGGUGAAAGCAUUCAAAUGCACCGUAACGAUCCUACCCAACAGGCCAGCAUAUUGUCUGAUGUGCCUUGUGUACUAGUUAUAAGAGGUUGAACACACACAAGAAUAAAGAUUCCACAUCCAUAUAUAAAACAUACAAUAUAUUUCAUAUACAUAUAUGUAAAAUAUGUAUAUAAACUUACAGAUGUAAAAAUAUCUUUUAUAGUUUGUAAUAACAUAAUAUCCAGCUUAAAAAAAAUUACAGAUGUAAAAAUUACUGUAUAUAUUUGAAUUUUAUAAAAUAAUUUUAGUGUUUGACGUGUAUCCUUUUCUAGAUAAUUUGUUAUUCUCAGAACUAUUAUCGGGUAUCCAGAUUUUUCAGAACACAUCAAAGUGGAUAGCACAGCAUAUAAUAGGAUUCGUUGAUUCUUUUUAUCUGGUCCUACGGAAUUUAAGAUAUUUUGUCGACUAAUAUACAAAUUUAACAUAGAAAAUUAUUAAAGGAAUGACCGCUAAGUCAUGACCACUUGUCAGAACAGUAACACACAUCAUUUCCAAAAUCAUUAUAUUAAUAAAUAACUGUCAUCUUUCGUGUUUUCUCUUCAUCACGAAAACACAAAUGAAAAUUCCCCUCUUUUAAAACCCAGAAGAAAGAUUGUAUAAACCAAAAAGAGAGCAAAAACGUUGGUGAUGUCAUCUUCCCGAUGGACGUUGAUGGAUCUACCGUCGUACCUGUCUUCAUCGUGGGUGUUCCGGUGGCCGGAGGUGAACCUAUCAUACCUGAGCUCCGGCUGGAACAUGAGACUGUUGUCGUUGUCGGGUAAUUUUUCGAUCAUCGAUGAUCUGUUGUGGAGUUUGAUCUCGGUUGUUGAAUCUAUGGCUAUUGUAGCUACGCUAUGUUGCUACUUCUUGUUUUGUGGUUGUACCCUCUGAUUAUUCUUUUUUGUCAUUAUUUAAUUUUCUUAACUUUUGUUGCGAAUUUAGUUGCCAAAUAAAAUCUCUGUAAAUAAAAUAAAUAAUGAACUUCGUGACAAUUUCUCAACGUUUAAAAUAUGAAAAGAAAAUCAUAUAAAUAAACAAAACAAAUUAUCAAUUUGGUUUUGCUAUGAUAUUAUUUUAGUACCAUUUUCUUGUAAAAUGUUCCUUAGGUAGUACUUAAACUAAAGAUCUAAGCACUAUAUAGGACACAUUCUAUACUCUAUAAUUUGAUGUUUACUAAGGAAGUGGAUAGACAGUUCCUUUUGGUUUGGUCUGGUUUAGUUCGGUUUCAAGUAUUCUACCGAUGUCACAUUGGUAAACCAUGGUACAAACCAUUUAAUUAUGAACUUCGGUUUGAUUCAUCAUUGGUUUGAUAUAACUUUGCAAUAUAUGGAGACAUUGUAUAUACAAUGAAAGUAACAGAAACCAAGUGCUAAAUUCACUAUAAGUAUGUGUUGUGGGAAAACAAAGUACAGAUUUGAAUGGUUGCUGCAACUACAUAGCAAUCAGCUUCUAAAAGAAGCGCAGAUUACCUACUUUCUUAAUUAAAAAAAAAGACGUCAAAGACAGAUAUUUUGUUGUGGUACAGUAUAACUAACAUCCCAUUUUAAAAUUGUUAGUCAUCCAUAUUUUGGAAAUUUAUAUUUUAAGGUCUCCAUCGUCAGGCGUUCUAGUGAGGUGUAGUUGUUAAUUACAUUUGAGGUGGACGGUAUUACAUCUAUGAAAACGAAUCUUGCACGGGUUAGAAUCAAAACUAAAAGUAAAGUGGUGAGCAGCUUUGUUGGAACCCAAACCAAGAGCCAACUUGGUUUUCUUGACAGCACCCUUAGGAAGAAAAAACACACAACUUUUACACACUUUUAAAAACUUUUAGAUAAAUUCUCAUUAGGCGAAAGUAUAAUAAUCUCAAAUCAAUUUUUUGCUUGUUCACUGUAUAUUAGUAUUCAUUAAUUUUAGUGAGGAUCUGUCCAGCCUGAGUUCAAAAUGGAGACAGUUUGAGUUUGGGCUUAGCCCACACCAGUAUGUAUGAGCUUUAAGGCUAUCUUGAAGAGUGGCUAGCCAAUCUUUGAUCAAAAGUUUGAUAAAUACAAACUCUAUGGGUCUCGGGUUCGAACAUCAUGUCUGGGUCAAUUUCUUUCGUUUUAUAAUUUCUACAAAGCCAUAAACUAUUCGUAGGCGUUGGGGCCACCCAAAUUUCAGGCCGGUAUAGACGAUAGCAUAUGUUGUUUUCGACUACGAAAUAUUCUGUGUCGUUCCAGUUCCAGAAAUGCAAACAGCAUUUUUAGCAAGAAAAACCAUAUGUAAACAAACUCCUACAAAUACCACCGAGUAUAUAAUAUUAAUUAAAAUAUAAUACAUAUAUUUUAAUAUUUUCAUAAUUUCAAUUUAAAUUUUUUUAUUAAAUAUUUUUACUAUUGUAUAUAUAUUGUUUUAAAAAAAAGAAAAAAAAUUUACCCUCCCGCAACCGUCCGCAACCGCAAACGCUAGUUGGAGCCAGCUUUUGAAUUUAUGAGAUUCGAAGCGGUUUGAAGCGAUUUAGAACGAUUUGAGUGAUUAUUGCAAACCACCGACAACCGCUACAAACCGCAAAAGCUGCGUUUGCAUGUGGUAGCGGGAAAACCAGUCGCCCCCUAAAUUAUAUAUUUUUAACGAAAAAUAACAGCAUGCUUCAUAUAUCAGAACUGGACAACACACCUGGAUUUGGGAAGAGAUCUUGCAAAUAAUUAAAGCUCGACUAUACAUUAUGCUAUGUUUCAGUGUUCGGUUCAACAAUUUCUCUGAAAGUUAAAGUUGGCUUUAAAUAAUAACCAUAAAACACAUUAUAGGUUGGUAUGCAAUCUUCUACAACAUGAAUAACACAUAGUCAUGUACCAAUGCUGUUUUCAUACGUAACUGUAGCCAUGAUAAUAAAAGUAAAAUUCAAAUUAGGGAAAAGACCAGAAAAAGGAAGAAUCAAAUCAAAGUUUGAUUGAACAUGACUUGGCGGCUGGUAUGAAAAGAAAAUGGUGAAACAUUUUGAUAGAUAUGAUAAUUUUUAUUCCACAUUCUUGGAAAAAUGGGUCUUAUAAAUCUUAUCUAUAAUUUCGAGUACACCAUUAUUUCAGUCAACAUCUCUCUUAAACUGAUCAAUCUAUUCAUUGUUUUCACUAAAACCACCUUAUGUCAUAACUCAUAAGAAGAUUGAGUAGUCAGAUUUCAAUUUAUUAAUCUCAUUAAAUAGUCUCAGUUUUAAACUAAGAAUACCAAAAACCACUUGGAUAAGAGUUUAUAGGAAAACCAAAAUUCGCUUGCAAUGAGUAUCAUUAUUAAACCGAUCAUGAGGAGAUCAUAACAACUAGAAUUUAAAUGAUGUUUUGAUAACUUAGUAAUUGACUGAUUGUGGCCAAACCACUGUGUUCUCUGCCUUGUAGGCCACAAAUACGUAGUGUUGCAUACGUAAUUUAUGUACGUAUUUACAGUUUUUUUUUUUGCUAAAAACGUAUUUACAGUUGAUACGUACGUUUCCAGUAUGUACAAAAAUAUAUUUUAAUUUUGCAUUCUGAUUUUUGGUUCAUUGAGUUAGUACUUAGCAAAGUGAUAUUACAGAAACCUCCUUAUUACUAGAAAACAUGUUUACCCGGAGAUUUCUUGACACUACAUUUGCUAUAUUUUCUUAAUUGAUCAUUAAUGUACGACGGGUCAACAUUUCACACCUCAUUUGCCACGUACUCUGCUUUUUGCCCAACUUCAAAAUAAAAAUGGAAAUAAUAUGUGGAUUAGUUUGAUAUCUACUUUUUUCUUCUCAAGUCAUAACAAUCACUUGAUGAAAAUGUUCCAACGUUAGUCUAAAUCUGAUAGUUAUUAAUUACUAUUGCAGUAUCGCUAUAUUUACCAUUCAACUCGUUCAAUCGAUCAACUGAUUUUGCUGUCAAUAGUUAAGAUCGAAACAUAACCAGCGGCAAUAUAAAAUAGACUAGUACAUACAUGGGCGAAUCUAGAAUGAUUUUCGAAUGGGUGCAAAAUUUUAAUGGGUACUCGAACAUGAUGAGACAAUGGGUAACAGAACAUGUAUAUGUGUGCAUCGUUACGUACGGGAAUGGUGCGAUUAAAGAAACACAUUAAUUAGAAUUAACUCUCCAUAAUAUACAAAGCAUGCUUUGUUUUGAUACUUUGUUGGUGAUGGAUUAGGGUUGAUGAGUAGCCUGUUAGAACUACUUGUGUUUCUAUUUUUUAGUGAUUAAAAGACAGUCCAUUAUGGACAUUACUAACUCUAUGCUUUUUGCAUUUACUUUUAUAUUUAAUAUCAGCCAUACAUCACUUGCGUAGCUAUCGGCUUCCUGAAAAAGACCUAAAGGAUAUAUGCACGCAUAUAUAGCUCCAUGCAUCAACUUUAUAAUUGACAUAUAUAUAUAUAUGUGUGUGUGUGUGUGUGCGCGUGUGUAUACAUAUCGGUGUGUGAGGGAAGGGGUUAGGUUUGUGUUUGUUAAUUAUAUAAUGUCAAUGUAUGGCUUACAUUUUUACCAAAAAAAAAUGUAUGGCUUACAUAAAACGGAUAUAAUAAAAUUUGAAGAGUUUAAUUAGUAUGAUUACAUGCCAUAAAAAUUCACUUGUUAUUAUUCAAAAGAAUUUAUUCCAUUUCUUAACCUCGUAAGUAAAUACGAAAACUAUGCUAGAUAGUAGAUGCAAUACAGUUUGUUUGGUUAGUGAAAAGGAGAACUAGAUAAAUAAUGAUGCUUAUUGUAAAUUAUGGUCCAUAUCUACAAUUUAAGUACGCAUGUACACACAAACGGUGCGCUUACUAAUCCUGAAAGUCUUUUUGAAUAUUAUUUGUGGUGAUUGAAGACUAACAUAAAAGUCGCAACGAAGAAAACUAUAUAUGAAAGAGACAUUGAGUUUAGGGCCAAAAGAUCUCUCGCUGACCUUUGUAUAAAGACGAAUAUGAAUUUACAUUUAUCCGCAUACCAAAAAGCUAACAGGUAGCAUCCAUGUGACUAAUUAGAUAUGAAGUAUAUUUUUUCUUGUAUUAUUUAAGCUUUUUGUCAUCACUGUCGAAAUUAUAGUAGAUGUUCGUUGUGAAUAAACCGUGUUUGUGUGUGAAUAUAAAGUAUGAAAGGAUAGUUCUAUAGUUAUGAAACAUGAAGUGAUCAUCUAUGACACUACGUAUAGAUUCAUAUAAUCUAGCAGGAUAUCCAGCUAAGGACACCGGGUCAUAAAAGAACUGUAUGUCCACUAAUUAAUUGUAUUUCGUGGAACUAAACCGAAGUUAAAUAUCGAAUUUAUAUUCUGUUUUACAUUAACUAUAUGAUGAAUGCAUGAUUAUGAAAGAACCUGGUUUGUUUUUCGGCAUAUAGAUCGAUGAUCGAUCUACAUAAUUUAACAAACAUAUGUGAUACAUACGUUAAUACCCAUUGGUUGGGAUUGAUAGAAAUAAAAUAAAAUGUGAGAUUCGAAUAAAGUGAGAGCCAGACAAGUUGAUAGCAUAGUUACAAACUUACAAAAUUAAAUGGUAUGAAAACGUCUAUAUAUUAAAUAAACUCCAUAUGCAUGCAUACUCAUACUCCUAGAUAUACAAUCAGAGAUAGAACUCGAUAUAAAAAAUUUAAACAUUAAAUAAUUAUAGAUUAGACCCUCACCCUCUGCCCAUCUAGCUCGCGAAGGAAAUGAUACAUUUUUACUAAUACUAAAACAAAACAAAAAGGAAGUUACAUCUAUAUCACAUAUGCUACAAACCUCUGUGGUAGCAUCGGUUAUUUGUUUAAUCGUGAUUCCGAAAAAAACGAUGCGAAACAUUGACAAAGAAAAAAAUAUUAGAAAACCAGCUAGCAAUAUCGGUUUAAUUACCUAAACCGGCCAAAACUCCUCAUUAAACCUAGCAACCGGUUCCGUCCAAAAAGAAAAAACAAUUGCUCCAGGGGGAAAAGUUGUUCAUUUCUUAUCCUCUUCAACGAUUUGGGCGUUAACAGUAUCCUCUCUGAUCUGCGAAGGAAGAAUAUCUUGAAGUAAUCCAUGAUCUCUAAUGGCAGAAGUAGUCGUCGUAGAAGCUUGUGGAAUAUGAUCAUAACCAAAUCCAGGGAAUGAUGAUGGCCCUGGAUUAAUGAAAGUACCAUCGGGGGAGCUUCUAUUGAUCAUGCUUAGAGAGUUGUUGUACAUGCUGUUGUAGGGUUGAUGAUGCUGAGUUAGCAAGUAGCGUGGCUGAGGGAUAGAGAAUGAUGAUGAUGACGCGGUUGUUGCACCAUGGUCAAGGAUUGGUGACGUGAGCAUUCCGAGGUGUCCACGUGGCGUCAUGGGGAAAGGGUGGGAGUGUUGACCUUCGUAAGUUGUCAUGACGAUGGAAGGAUCAUCGGAGGAUCUCUCCACUCUCUUCUUCACUCCACAACCUACUGUGGUGCAACGAUAAUAGCUUCUGCACAUUAAAAUAAAAUCUUAAUACAUUUUACAUAUUAAACGGAAAAAAAUAAUAUUAUUUACUUAUAAAGUUUGAAGUAAAUGAAAUUUGGAAUAUAUGAGGAACAUAAGAUCUCGAGAUCUGAGAUGAACAAGUUUAGAUAAUUCUUCCGACAGAAGCAACAUAAAUCAAGGGAAGAAAAGAACACAGAAACCUCAUGGAAUGGAACAAAAGAAAAUAUAUUCUUCGAAACGAAAAUUCAAACAUUUUGGACCCUACACACACUGUAUUAGGUAUAUAUAGUCGUCUAUAUAUAAUUAUAGUGAACGUGUAUACAGUAUGAACUUAGAGUCAUGUGAUAUAGACUCGGCAUGUAUAGAGCACACUGAUCAAUCUAGGGCUACUCUACACACACACACACACUUCAACAUACAUAUGGUUUGUUAUUUAUAGAAUAAUUUGAAUAUAUAUAGCAUAUAUAACACCGGAUCUAUCGAAAGUUAUAUGACACCCAAAAAGAACAUGUAGAAGUUGUAGAUCACACUAAAAAAAAAGUUAUUUGAGAUUGUGUUACAAAAAAAAAGAAGCUGUAGAUCUUUAUGAAUAGGAAAAAACUGGAUCUAUUGAAGUAUAUAUACUUAUAUAUGCAUAUAAAGUAUAUGUAAACACAGAUGCAUGGAAAGUGACCAUGAUCUAUAUGGAUCUAGCUAGGGCUGUAAUUAAUAUGUGUAUAUAUAUAUAUAACAACAUAAGUACAGAGUAAUGUAUAUUACCUGGGAUAAGGACUGUUUUUGACAGCUUUCUGGCCGUACUUUCUCCAUCUAUAACCGUCGUCAAGGUUAUCAAUAUCGCUCUUGGUCAGAAACGCAAACCUAGCCUCUCUUGCCUUUUUUUGGUUCUUUUUCUUUGCCUUUAACCUUCAAAACAAGAUAUUCACACAAACAAAAUUAAUAAAAUCCAAACUCGAACAUAAUCAAUCGGUCAGUAAAAUGAAAGGACUAAUUACUUACUGUGGCUUAGUACCCUUGUGCUCUUGUUGAUCUCCUUCUUGAUCUUUAACAGGAACCUCCUUAUUAGUAUUAUCAUUUGCAGCUUCGUUGGAUGAAGAGGAUACUGAGGUUGAGUUUGGAGAUGUCGGUGCUGUGUUGACAACUUCUGAUGACUCAGCCUUUGUUGUUAUAGCUUGAGGCAAGGGUAAAUCAGUGAAAAAGAGAUUGGUAUCGUUGUUGUUUUGGAGAGGAAAGGCAUCGAAUGAGAAAGAAGAUGGGUUAGAGGAUGAAGCAAAUUGAUGCUGGUCUUGUCUGAGCAAGUCAAGAAAAGAGUUGGGAUUAUUAGAGGAGUGAUCUUCGAAAUAAGAAUAAGGAAAAGGUAAAGAUAUUGGAGUAUCAAAGAUGCUUGAGAAAUUGAUGUUGUUCCCAGCUAGCUCCAACUGAUGAAAAUGAUGAUCUGAUGACGUAGCUAGAUUCGCCAUGUGUGAUGAUGAAGAUGAUGCUUGAGAGAUUUGUAUUUCUUGGUGAUCUAUCUUGGUCUCUGUGUUCUUGGUACUGUUGAGCUGCUCCUUUUGUUGAUGUUCUAUCUUCUUCUCCAUGUAAUAGAAAGGAUAGAAUAUCUGAGAGGAUACUUUAUAGAGACAUCAUCAUCAUUGUCAUCUUCUGAGAUUUAGUGAGGAUGAGAAAGGAGAACUUUUCUUUAGCUUUCUUGAUGUUUAAAAAAAAAUUGUAAUGGUUUAUGUGAUUUGAGAUAAGAAGAGGAGAGAGAGGUGUGAAUAUAACUUUUAUGGAGUUUUGGGUUCUUCUGGAAAACAGCUUGGAUUUAGGAGGUUUCCCAUUUGUUUUUUUUUAAUUAUUAUUAUUUUAUGUCCGCUCAUUUAUUUACGCGGGCAAGAAUAUUAAAAAUAAUAAAAAGGAGAAAAACAUUGGUCACCGGUAUACGCCGGUCAUGGGAGGUGUACGGUUGUGAACGGUAUCGGGACGGUGCCGCUCUCUGCCAGGAAAUUAAUUUUGUGCCUUCAUUUCGUUUUUUUUUUUCAUCUUUAUUCUCAUAUUAUGUCGUGUCUCCUAACGGCAUGGUUACAGUUUGGCUUUAAUUUACUAAAGUUACUUGACUUUUGUUGUUCAGCUUCAUUCGAAGUUUACAUUUCAUUUAUAUUUUAGCUUGAAAAUAAUAAUCUUUGCAAAUGAUUGGUAUGUCAUAUAAUGAGAUAAUUACUAUGAAUUAUAGGAUAAUUCCUAUUUAGCAUGAGUUUAGGAUAUAUGCUUUCUAAGUCCUUAUCUGUUUAAGACCUUACUUGGUGUAUAAGUAGAGACAUUGGCCAUGAGCAUCAAUAACACAAAUGAUCUAUUUAGAGCCGUCUAACGGCAUGUGCAAGUGGAGCGGUCGAACAGGGCUCCGAAAUAUAAAAAUAAAAAGUUUAAGGAUUUUUCAAAAUUUAUAGAUAAAUUAUGAUAAGAAAUUUUCAAAUUUUAGAUAUAAUGCUAAAUUUAAAACUUAUAAUUAAAAAAAAUAGACAAAGUUAUUAAAUUUUAAAAUUAUUUGAUAAAAUGUACAAUUACUAUAUUUUUUGAACAUGGCUUAAAAUUAAUUUGAGACGGCCAUGGAUCUAUUCUAUAAUCAUUCCAUUACAUCCUAAGAUGGAUGAGUAUUUCUAUAAAAAAAAUGGAUGAGUCAAAAUUUAAUAUAUGAAGUAUUCCAGACAUUUAAAUUUUAUAAUUUAUAUAAUUGAAAAAAAAAAUUAUAGUUGUAAGAUAUGCAGUUAUAAACUACUAUUUGUUUAGUACAUUUUAUUUAUACAGUAUAUUUGAAAGUAAACCUAAAAAUUAAAAUUCAGUUUUCCUCCUGGGAUUUUAUUUUACACUAGCAAAAUUUAUUUCGGAUGCAUAAUUCGUUUCCAUUCGAGGUUUUACUCAAAAUAUUUUUCUGGCAAGACUAAUCUCUUGUUUUUACGCGUAAUUUUUCAAAUUUUAGAUAUAAUGCUAAAUUUAAAACUUAUAAUUAAAAAAAAUAGACAAAGUUAUUAAAUUUUAAAAUUAUUUGAUAAAAUGUACAAUUACUAUAUUUCGGUAGACCAAGGGUUACGAGGAGUGACGCGUGAAAGAAAACACGUAGACGUAUGAAACGAAAAAGUGUAGGUCGCGUUUGUUAAUUUCACCGAGUUUUAUCAACUAUAUAAUUAAUUAAUCAUUCAUAUCGAUGUUGGUCCAUUAUCAUUUACCUAUGAUAAGAAAAAAAACAAAAUAAUUAUUUAUCUUUUGAUAUUAUUUUAAGCUCCUCGCGGCUUUCCUUGAUUUUAAACUUUUUAAACGGCAAUUCGUCUUUUCCAUUAUAAAUGCUUUUUACGGGAAAAGAAAAUCUGUGAUCCUGACAUAAAAAAAUAAUUACAUUUCGCCUAAUUCUAUUUUGACUUGAACGUCUUGUCGCCGAUUCUUUUCAUAUCACAGGUUGCAUUUGUUAAUGUUUUUGUAAUUUUUCGUUUACCAUGGUACUAUAUCAAAUAUUAAUUUAAAGACAACUAUGUCUAAAGUAAGCAGUAGUACUACCUUACUAAUUAUAAUUAAAAAACAGCCAGUUUAUAACUUUUAAGUGCAUUUACCAAUGUAAGAGACCAUGCUCAAUGAUCUGGAACUUCAAGUUACUAUAUUUUAUCUAUUCAAUAUGAAUAUAAAUGUAAUAAGCUAAUGGCCAUUUAAGAUAUGAUAACAAAUCCAAGCUAAGAAAAAUAAAACUGAAAACCAGUGAGCACAUACUUUCACGUAGAUAGAGAAUAUAAGAAGAUGUGUUCAAAAAAAAAAAAAAAGAGAAUAUAAGAUGAGAAAAGUGCUACGAGGCAAAGAUACAACCAACAGAAAGAGACAAAAUUAUUGGAAAUUCAUAGUUAAUUGUGAAUUGAAUAAAUUGAGAAACAGUAAAAGCUGGAGAGUAAUUUAAAAUACGAUUAAAAUAUGGAGUAAACGCGUAAGAAAGAAGCUUCGAAAAUAAGCUGACACAAAGCUUACGUCAGCAUAGAGUUUGCUUCUUCUCCGACAAGUCAUCGGUCAUCAAAUCCUAUCAAUCCCAACUAUUUAUUACUCCACGCCUCCACCCUCAUUUAUCUUAAGCCAUUAUAAUCUUUUUCUAAAGCCAUUUAUGAUCUUAAUUAUUGUUAAUUCUGUUUAUAUAAGAAAAUAAACUUGAUAUUUCAUUUUUAUUGUUAUUGAUAUAGAAUCCCAAAAUAUAGAUCACAAAUUAAUAUGUGAAAGAUAAAUUAGAUAGAUAAAUUAUAUUUUUUCAAAAUAAUGGUAGAUCACAAACUAAUCAUCACAUCUGAAUUUUAUUUUCCUUUUCUUUCGUUACAGUUUUUUUUUUCAUUUCUGUAUCUCAAGUUCAGAUUCGUUUCAAAGUAAAAUUGAAAGGUAACUUUUGUUGAGAGGUGGGGGUUACACGCUUUUCUCUCAUUACAUAACCUUUUGUGUGAGGAAUGAAGGGUCAUGGUCAAGGACCCACCCAACCCGUCCCUUGUGGCCCAAAAGCAGUAACACUGUAAAAUCGUAUAUCAGGCAGCUGUUCAAGUGUCGACAGUGGUUUUAUCGAGCUGCCAAAAUAUAGAAAGCAGGCACGUGUUUAUAACGCGUUAUUAGCUGUUUUAUUUUCCCUCCUCUCAUGUCGGUUGCUUCCGCAUCAAGCCACACUCCUUUUUGUUUUCCUUCUCGCAACACUUUUUCAGUAAACACGUUACUUUGUUUUUUUUCUUAUCAUAGGUAAAUGAUAAUGGACCAACAUCGAUAUGAAUGAUUAAUUAAUUAUAUAGUUGAUAAAACUCGGUGAAAUUAACAAACGCGUGAUCGAAUCCUACGAUGCUUAUGCUGAAUGCUGAUACAUUGAUGCGUACUUUAUACUUACCAUCGAUCUAGUUCAAAAUGUAAUGCACGUGUGAGGCUUUCGUGUAUAGGCGUGCACUGUUUUCUUGUACGAUAAAAUAUAUAUUGUGUGAUGUAAUGUACCGUCCUGAGAUGAUGAUAUGUAUACAAAUGAAUUAAUGGAAACCAAAUCUCAGUAGUAUAAAAACUGGGUUUGACAUGGUCCACUUGUACAAAGGUUAAGUAGCCGCAAACUAAGGACGUACGUCCACACAUCCUCUUUUUCCUACGUUCACUUAAAAGAGAAUCUCAAAAUUGCUAAUACAAAUACUUGCUACCACAAUAAACACUCGGUCUUUCUUUAUUACUUCUCUAUUUUAUACACACAUAUAUAUCGUUAUCUUUGUAUGCAUCUAUCUAUACGGAGACUCAGUCACAACGACUCCGGCCAACUGGUAUAUAAUCUCUUUGUAUAUUAUACACAUACAUUAUUAAUUAAACUAUUGAUUGUUCUUAGUGCAAAAAAGAACUAUUGUUUAUUCUUUUUUCGUAAGAAGUAUAUUAAAGUGAUUGAGAAAGGAAGUAUAUUCACUAAUAAUAUUUGAUCCAAAAAAAAAAUUCACUAAUAAUAUAAUAGCGCUUUCACACGCAGAUAUGUAAGCGUAGUGCGAUUAGUUAGACUAGAAGGGUCUAAUACUUAGAUCGGUAUGAUAUGUUAAAAAAACAUAGUACUAUUUUAGUGCUUUACGGGCUUAAAUCUCACUUUUCAAGGUAUGUUAUGUGUGUAGUCUUUUUCAAAAAAAUGUUAUGUGUGUAGUGCACAUGGAUGAGAUCGGGUUUUGCUAAGUUCGAAUUGUAGAGUUGUUAUAUCGCCGCGGAUAAAGUAAUUGCUUUUAUAACUCAAAAACAUUAAAUAAAUUGAUAUGAUUGACUAAAGGAUCAUAGCUAAGCUAACUGCUAAAGUUCACGAGACCAGAUCUACGGAAAUAUAUAUUUCAUAAGGGUGAGACGAAAUGGUCAAAAGUCAAAGGUGUUGACCAUCAAUUGUUCAGCUUACACUUAUUAAAGUUGAAUUUUCAUGAUCGAUCACUUUCAUAUUUCGAUUGAGAGUGUAUUGUUCUGAGCUAUUCGUAUGUAUUUUUCUAGAAACUAGUUUUGAAUAUAUAAUUAUAUUUUGUCAACUUCUUGAUUGUUUUCUUUAUCAGCUUCAUUUAUCAUUUUAAUCUUGAAAAUGUUUAAAUUAACGUUGUGCAGAAUAAAUUUGUAGAUGAAUAGAUCGCAAACUCUUACAAAUGUAAUAUUAAAGCCUUGCUUUAAGAAAAAUUAGAGAAAGGUGGUGUGUCAUAGUGCUGACCCUUGAUAUUUUAGGGUUCUUGUUCACUUAACUUUUGGAGAGGUUCCUUUUAUUGUUUUUUAUCUAAUUAUUGUUUUCAUUUCAACGAGGAAAUUAUAAACCUAUUCAAGCAUAGUCGUAUAUAUCCUCUUUGCUACCAUUUUAUAUUCAUAUCUUCUCUUUUCUUUUUUACUAUGACUACCGAGAAUAAGAGCUUUAGUUUUUUUUUAUCUAGUAUAAGUAUACAAUAAUAUUGGAGACUAUGGUUCAACUUUUAAUAUAUUGCCCUAUCGACGUGAACAAUAUGGUUACUUGAUUAAGUGCCCAGCUGACUUAUUAGUAAUGAUAUUAUAUCGUUUGACCAUAACAAAAUUCUAAACCCCCAAAUGCUCUAGAAUUAAACUUGGAAACUUUUAGCAUAUUAUUGUCAUGUCACUUGUCAAUGUUAAAAAGAGUAAAGGUCAAAAGAGUUAGCUAUCGUCGGUCCAAGCCAAAUGAGCCAGGUGUGCGUUCAUAUAAUUACAAGGUGCAUAUACAUAUAAAAUGUCUUUCAUUGACAUGUAUUUUCUGCAAGUCGGUGAUUAUUAUGAAACUCUCAUCGGAUCUGACCUACUUAAGUUAGAGAGAGAUUGGCGGCACUCAACUUUCAAAUAUCAUAUAUGAAACGAGACAAAAAAAAACAAAUAUGAAUUGAGGAAGAUAAUAUUGUUUAUGAUCAGAAGAAACUUAGAUUAUACCAACCUAAAUCAAGAUAAAUUGUGUUUUUUUUUCCAAACUGAUACAAUCUAUGUUUAAAUAACAAAGCGUGAUCUUUGUAUACAAAUUAGUGUAGAUUUGGUUAUAAUGAUAAACAAACAAAUGUAGAUCCGUAAUCGAUUUUUGUAAAUUAAAGAAUACGUGGAGGGAGAAUAACAAAGGUCAAGAUUCGUUCUGGAUGAAUGCAGGAGGAAGGGAAACAACGUGUUGACUUGAGAACUGAAGCUUUCUCAUGCUGAGUGAGAACAUCUAACCGAUGAUUGCGGCUCUGGUGAAUUUGAUUUUAAAAUAAAGUUAAUUUAUUCCCUAUUUUAAAUAAAAUAGUUUUAGUUUACCUGUGAGAGGGAUGUCCCAAGAAGAUGACAAGGAGAAAAAGUCAAAGUCAAGAGAGAUGGGAGUGGUGUUAUGAUUAACAUGGAAUAUUGUAACGCUAAACCCUAAAACGCGUUAUUUGUCACUAACAGACAAACUCACUUUAAUAACUCUUGCGGGGACAGACAGCUGCUUGGCUUGCUUCAAAGACUAUCAAAUUAUACUUCAGAUUUGGCCCUCUAAUUAGACUCUUGUUUUUUUGUUCAUCUUUCAAUAUUUGAGAUGUUUUUGAAGAUACUUCUGUUUUGCAAAAUCAGUAUAUUACAAGUAAUACUCAAUGCAUGCAAUUAAAGUCACUGAGAUUAUCCGAAACAAACAAAAUGAAUUUCUAAUUAAUAUAGUUAAGCAAGGCAUUGUACAAAAAUUAAUAUAAUCAAUGCGUAGCGUGAUGCGAAUAAUUGAUACUGUAGUUAAGUCUUAUCACGAUGGAAACAUCAUGCACUAUCAUCUCGGUUUUGUAUAUAGCUAGAGGCGGAUCUAAAAACUUUAUUUUAUGGGUGCAUUAUUAAUAAGAAAAACACAUGAGAGAAUCAAAGUUAAGGGUGCAAAUGUUUUUUUUUUAAACCGUUUUAGCUACCAGUUUCAAUGGAUUCAAGCACAAAAAUCUAAAUAUAAUUAUGGGUCCCUACAAUUAUUUACUAACCUGCAUUGGCCCCUGCACAAAGCUACAUAUCGGUUAAGAACAACUAUUACUAGUAUUGUACAAAGCCUAGAAGAAAGUCAACUUAAAUUCAAUUGAAUUCUAAAUACGUCUGAUCACUGAUGCAUCCAACGUUGAAUCAAAAUAGGGAAAAAAAUACCCGCCCCCCCCCCAAAAAAAAUAAAAAAAUCACAAAUUCUUUGAUUUGUAAAUUGAGGGUAUGAAAUUUGUGGCCGUAUAUGAGAGUUGUUAGACCAAGAAGAUGUCUUUUUGUGGGCGACCUAUAAAUGCAUUUACAUGUCACUAUCAAGUACUAUCUAUAACCAAAAUGUUGUUUAGAGAAAAAACUACAAUAUUUGUAUAAUCAUUAGAAGAUAUAUGGAUAUUUCGGAUUUAAAAUAUACACCGUGUAAUAUAGAUGCAAGUAUAAUGCUAGAAAAUAUUGGCAUAAAGAGUGGAUUUUGGAAAUGUAAGUAUACGAAGGAUAUUAUUUUCAAAAAAAAAAGUAUACGAAGGAUAUGGUUGCAGAAACAACGAAAUGAAAUUAAUAGAUUAAAAAACCAAGUGAAAGUCAAUAAAAGAAACAUGGACCACCAGUAAUUGAAAGGUCCAUCUUGUAAAGGUCAGUUCAAGCCCUAACCAUAGACGAAAGGAAAACUAGUCUCAAAUGACUUUUUCUUUGUUUUACUCUCCUUUUUGUUUAUCUUCAGGUAAUAUUCUUUAUUUGGAAACGACGGAAAUCUCAAAAUGUUUUCAUAAAUACUGUCAAAUUGAUUAUACAAGCAUUUUACAAAACAUGAUGUUACAUUUGUCUGAACAGGUACUGAACAAUUAUAGCCCCAAAUAAUUGAAUAUUGCAAAGUAUAUUAAUUCACUUAGUUCCAGAAACAUAUCUCCUUAAUAACUCUUAGAAGUUAGAACAUUGAUCAAAAGCAUAAGAUUCUGCAAACAGUUUGAUAUAUUGACCACAUCCUUAAACAAGUAGUAGUACUUCAAUCGUAAAACACAAUAUGGUCUCUGAACUCCGAAAAAAUGUAGCAAAAUAAUACAGAAGGCAAACGAUGAUAACAAAAUAACAAUGCUAAAUGUUUCUAUUCAUAGGUUUGUCUAAGCAACAAAAUUUGAUCAAGAUAGCAAAAAAAAAAACAAGAGUUACAAACCAAACGGUGUUGCGGAAAUCAUAUUACCUCCUUAUAGGACACACGAGCAUGAUUUGAACCUGUGAUUCAUGAGUCUGCAGCAGUAAUAGCAGUAGGGGCAACUUGUUUAACCCUCCUUUGCUGCACAUCAUAGUUAUAGAUACGCGCAAUAGUCACCUGUUCAUCAUACGAAAAUCCAAGUCAACAAGGAGAAACUAGUCUUUACUCAAAUCUUUGUAUUAAGUAUCUACACUCCAUGGGUUUACGGAAUAAAAUUCUCAGAUUAAUAAAGUAAAACCAAUGCCUUUACUUAAAUCGAGUGAGAUAAAAACAUAGAAGUAUCUCUGUACCUGAGUAACUGUGACUUGGUCCCUCAAGAACUGCAAAUCAGCUACAAGAACCUCCAGGCUAGCUUUAGCAUUUUCCAGAUUGUUUUUCAAAAGGGCUGUAGCCUGUCGGGACAACGAAGAUUAUAAGAACUUAUUCUAGGGGUCCCUGGUGGAAAAUUUAAAACACGGAAGAGAAUAUGUUUCCAGCGAAGUGGACCUCUUCACAGGAAUAUUCCAGCAUGACAUUUGCUCCCAACCACAAACACACUGAGUCAGUGUCUUCAAUACAGGCCCGUGAAUAUAUUCCUUCAGACACCUCAAAAUCUGCUAAAAGAGCCUGCAUUGCAAGAAGAAUUCCAUGUGAGAUAAAGAUGAAAGAACACAAGAAUCAGAACUAAGUCAGUACUUCAAAGCAACUUUCAUAUUAGAAAGAUGAAACAUCGUGCCUACUAGAACCUAUGUGUCAGUUAAUUGAUUCUUCCAGUGAAGCUAGAACUAUGUUCUGAUGUCACAAUCAAGAACGACUUAAGAACACCAAUCAAAGGGCCAUUGAUCGGUGAUUUAGUACAAAGAUAAGAGAAAAAUGUUACAAACCAUCAAUAAGAAAUCAAAGCAAAAUCAAGUUCAAGUGUUCAACCUUAUUAAAUUAAAAGCCAGGACUUUUGGAUUCAGAAGUUCAAAAUAACAUUUAUUUUCAGUCACCUCAUAUUCAAACGUAGAAACAUAAGAGUGUCUAUGUCCAAAAAAAAACAGUGAAGAAAGGUAUCGAAGUAUAAUAGAAGAGAGAAUGGUACAAGAAACAAACAACGAACCUCACCAGUACCCUUCCUUGCUUCCAACGUGCCAACAACCUCUAAGCACUUCUCAAUAUCUGGGAUUUUAGCCUGCCCCAUUAUCAAAAUGUUAAAAGAUAUCUAAACUGAAACAAGCUAAGAAUAUAUAACUUGUAACAAUCAUACAUACAUAACACAUCCCACAUGCCUCAUCACACAAAUGUACCAAUCUACAUAGAGGAGGAGGGAAGUAUACCUGAAGAUCCCUCUGCUGGGCAAGAAGCUUCAUCUCCACAACUUUAUACUGCUGUAGCCUAAACAAAAGAAUCCACAGGGCAAAACACUUCACUUUAAGUAAAACUUUCAGGAAUCAAUCAUACAAAACGAGCUAGUGUACAUUAGAUCUGAGAUUGAACUAAGAAGAAGCAUAGGCAUAUAAGCCUAAGACGAGAAGGGUUGAAUGAAAGGAGGAACCUUUCUUGAUGGAAGGCGAGAGCAGAGUUAGAAUCGAGGCUGGACUGAGAGAGGUAAGUCUCGACAUCUUGGAUGAACUUAGCGGCGGGAAUCCCUCUUCUCUCGCUCAAAUCGCCACCGCUACCACUCGGAGAAGACGACGACAUCUGAAUCGAGAUCUCUGUGUUCCUCAAUUGGGGAUUUAGGGUUUUCUCCGAGUGUCUUCGGAGGAGAGAGUGUGACGGAGGAAGGAUCGGUAACACGACGUCGUUGUGUUCAGUCAAGAAUAGAAGCAUUCAAACGCUCCGUUUCAUAAGUGGGCCUAAGGCCUCGCUUGUUAAUCGUGAUGAAGCAGACCCAUUGAUACUUGUUAAUCGUGAUGAAGCAGACCCAUUGAUAAUAUUGAGGACGAGAAAAUAAUUUACAUAAUCCUUCGGUUUGACCCAUUAGUGCUUAGACAAAGAUGGAGGGGGUUAGAGCAUGUGCAUUGCGGACGCUUAAGACGUUGCUUAGCCUAAUUUUCAUUAAAAAGAAAAUCAAAAAGACUUGAUAAUAGAAGCGUCGUAGCUUAAUUAAGGUCCAGAAGGAACGUUGCUUACGGACACGUGUGGGCAAGUGAGUGGAGAGAGAGGAGAGGUGGCUUCGUCACUCUUCGUGAACUCUCCCGUGUGACGAUGGAGCUCGUCUGCGAGAGUUUGGGGUUCAAAGGCAAAGGAAUCUGCAAAGUCCACGGCACAGUCUUCGUCGUCAUAUGCGACCGUGCUCUUCCCGGCGAGCGUUUCCUCGGCUGCGUCACUCUCGCCGCAAAGGUAGCUACGCCGAAGUUCCAUUAAAAAUCUCUCCUUUUGUUUUUGAAAAAAGCUUUUUUUUUUUGUUUUGGCAAUAAAGUUACAAUUUUUAUGUUCGUAAUUGCUUAUUGAUAUGUUGUUUAGGUGACAAAGAUCAAGACUUUAACUCCACACCGUGACUUAGUAGAAGCUCCGUGUGAGUAUGCUUCCUACUGUGGUGGCUGCAAAGCUCAGAACCUCUCCUACGAAGCUCAGCUUAGAGCUAAAGAUGAACAAGUUCAUGAGCUUAUCACGCAUGUCGGAAGGUUCUCUGAUAACAGUCCUGGUCUCGAAACGGUCUUGAAGGCUAUUGUUCUCUGUGAUAUCCAGUUUUGAUUUGUUCUGUGGAGAGAAACAUGAGGAAGGUUCAUCGAUACUAUUGCAAUAGAGGUUUGUUUUACUAAUUCUUCUAAUGCUGUAGCUUCUGUAGAUUAAUAUAAGUUUGCCAAACAGGUGUGUAAGUGUGGUUAAUGUUAGAUAGAAAAGUGUUAGUGUGAUAAAUGAGUUAGAUAGAAACCAUUGUGUAAGUGUGAUUAAUGAGAUAGAUAGAAACGAAUGUGUAAGUGUGGUUAAUGAGUUAGCUAAAUGUCAAGUCCAUUUGGUUGUGUGUGUGUGAUGAAUGCAUUUCUCUUUUUCUCCUCUAUUAAACUGAAUCCUUCUUUUGUUCCAUCUAUCAAAAGAAGAAGCUCAUCUGUUUAAGUGUAUUUUUAAGGUUUCUUGAGUUGUUUGUUAUAUGUUUCAUGUUCUUCAUUGUUGUCUGUUUCAUGUUUAGUUUAGGAGAAUGAUGUCUUGUUUGUUGUUCUGUGCUCUGUUUCAUGUUUAAGUAAUGAGAAUGAUAACUUGUUUGUUGUUCUGUUCUCUGUUUCAUGUUUAAGUAAUGACAAUGAUGAGUCUGAAAAAAUUUCAUCUCUCAUUUCAGUCAUUGUCUCUUCUUAUCACACAUAUUCUCCUUCUUACGAUAUCAAGAUCAUCGUUUGAUCAUCAAAAUCAUCGUUUGAUCAUCAAUUCUCAUCACAAGCACACUUAUAAAAAUCUAAAAAAAUUCAUCUCAUGGCAUCUUCUUCUCUAAAAUCCUUAAUUAAGCAACUGCCAAUAAACCCAUAUAACUAAGUGUUGCUUAACAAAAUUGCUUCUCUUAGUUUUAAUAAUUAAAAAUUAAUCAUGCCCCACUUAAGCAACAAAUAAGGUUGCUUGCAAUGCACAUGCUCUUAGGAUCCUUUUUUUUAACCACUUCAUUGAUAGGAAAAUCAACCGAAAAAGGUUCAAGUACAAGGUGAAACCAAAGAAAAACAUUUAAGUGCUCAUUCAGUCAUUCUAAAGAAGAUUUACGAGGAAAUAAAAGACGCCUCCCUAUGAAUCUGAUGAUGGAGCCAAGCUGGUUUUUUAGUGCCAGAUAUGACUAUACGUUCCAGAAUACACUUUUUGCAAUUUCUCGCGCAAUCUUGUUAGAGACGACAGACUCCGUCUCAAAUGAAAUUGAGGCAAAAGAUGCAUACAGGGCAUUGAUCCUCUGUAGCAAGACUCUGAAACGUGGCCAUUCCGAGGACUGCAUCACAGCUUCAAUCAGCUCAUGAAAAUCAGGCUCCACCAUGAUUUAUUGAUAUGCCAAGUCUUUCAUACUCCUUAACGUUCAUUCCAAACACUGAAGCUCAGCUGUCAAUCUGUUAGGAGAGAAAGUAAGCGCAUCUCGAGCAUGGUGCGAAACAUUGCCAUUGUAAUCUCGUAUGAAAAGUGCAGCACCACUGUGAAGCUUAGCAUUCCUCCAGUUCGCAUGUAUAUUGCAUUUUGCAUAACCGGCUAGAGGUGGUUCCCAUCUUUUGUUCUCAUCACAUAACCCAUUUCUCACCUCCAUGUUCUGUUGGACUACAUUGGGCUCAUGCCAGACACGAGCUUCCUCAUCUCCUUGUUGAAGUUGUAUGAUUAAGGAGACUUACGUGUCAGAAUACAAAAUCAUGUUUUUGUUCUUCCAAAUAGUCCAAAGUAUUUACGAGAUUUUUUUCCUCUGGAACAAUGGUAGAGAUUCAUCUGACAUCCUUUGGAUAUAGAGAUUCAACAACUCUACCAGACUGCGAUUUGCUAAUUGCAAGAUGGGUGGAAACCCUGCAAUGUCCCACACCUCAGGAGCAGUACCUCAUUAAAAUAACACAUGUUCGAUCGAUUCAGUGCCCACCAUACAAAGUUUGCAUCAAGUGUCCAGAUGCAUCCCUUGAGUAUUCAAUCUUUCAGCCAUCCCUUGAGUAUUCGAAUCCUUGGUAAAGUGGAAGAUUCCAAAUAUAUUUCUUCAGCUCCAAUAAGCAUGCAGUUUUCAUACUCGUUUGCAGUGCUUGUGAUUCUUUAGCUUGCAUAGCCAACUUGUAACCGCUUUUCACCAUGUAUGCUCCAUGCGAAGAAUAAGCCCAAAUGUCUCUAUCGGGAACCUCUCCUACCGGUAAUUGUCGAAUUCUUUGCACUUCGUUAACAUGGAAAGUAUUGUCCAGUUUUGUUACAUCCCAUUGUCCUCCAUCCUGAAUCAGCGCUGAGACAUUCAGAUUGACCUCAAUCAUAACUUCUAUAUUGACCGGCCGACGAGGACAGUCAUCCAUAAUCCAUUUCUGCGUCCACACGUAUGUUGACAUGUCAUUGCCAAUGGAUCGAUCAAACAUUUACUCAGUAGUUCCCUCCCAAAUAGUAUAUUGCACCAGGCAUACGAUGAUUUGUAGCUUUUCCCACAUAAAGUCUAGCAAUCAGGUUGUUUGGCUCAUUGAGUAACCGCCAUACUUAUUUGGUUAGGAGGGUUUGGUUAAAAUUUUCAAUAUCUUUAAACCCCAAACUCCCAUUCUCUUUAGAGAUACACAAUUUAUCACAAGAAUCCGGUGAAUCUUCCUCUUCUCAUCACAUUUAUUCCACCAGAAAUUAGCCAUAGCACUCAUUAUCAUUUGACAAUGAUGCUUUGUUAGACGAAAACAUGAAAUAACAUAAAUAGGAAGCACCAUAGAAAUAUAUUUAAAGAAAACCUCCUUUUUCCACCAAGACAAAGUUUUUUGGUAAACGAAUCUUUGAGACGCAGCUCAUUUUCUUACCUAUAAAUACAAGAAGUUUCUGUUUAGAACCACUAAAAUAUUUUGGCAGACCAAAAUAUUUUUCAUCUCCUCUUUCAUUACCAAGGAUCGUUUAAAGUCAAGUUUUCAUUAAUUUAUUCAUCAGAGUUUAAAUUUUAGGUUUGGUAUAUCAAUUGCAACACGAGACUGGCCAAUUGGGAAUAAUUAAACAAAAGGUUUACUCUGUUCAAUAUGCUCGUCUAUUAUCGGUUAGCAAGGGCUGAAAAAGAGGGAUAACACAUGUUAAAAUCCUCUUAGAAGGAUUUAAUAGAGAAAACAAUGAAAAACAUUAGGGAUCAAAAUACAAUAUUGGCAAACAGAAAGCACAACACAAUCCAAAAACUCAACUAGCAAAAGUAAAAUAAAAUACACGUAGAUGGGUUUUCUAUAUAUGUGGUUACAUGCAUGGUUGCAAAUUUAACAAACUUGCAUACAAAUGUAAAAAGAAACUUAGUCAUGUACGGCCAAAUGGUUGCAUAUCUGCUAUUUCAAAGAACAUAAGCUUUUAAGUUUUAAAUGUCAUUUUUAUAUUUUGUUUAAAAUCCAAAAAAUUGAAGACGCACACCCGAACAUAAGAUAUAUAUUAAACCUGAAAUUCUAAACUAGCGAACCAACCAAGUGCAUGUACACAGUGGCGGAUCCAGAAACUAUUUUUACUGGGGUCAGGGACUCGUAAUAUAAAUAUAGUUUAAGGCUUAAAAUAUUUGUUCACGUAUUUUGUUAAAGAAAAAGUAUUGUUUUCAGUAUAUAAAAAUGUACUACGUGUUUAAAAUGCUGUAUGGGCCUUAAGUCAACUUAAAAAUUGGUAAGCAGGCUGUAAAUUUUACAAAAAAAGAAAAAUAUAUACUGAAAAUGAGGUAAGUUAGGGAUUGAACCUGAGUUAAGUGGGGUCAUACAUGCAACCAACACCACUUGAACUAACGAUUCUUUCUAAAUUUCCAUACAAAACAAAAAGUUUUCAACAUUUUACUGGGGUCAGCUGACCCCACAACACCCUUGGUGGCUCCGCCCCUGCAUGUACAUAUUCACUGUUAGAUGAGAAUCAUACGUUCGCAUCUAAGGAUAUUUUUAUUUUAUUUGUGGUAGAUAUUAAUAUAUUGAGUAAUCGGUGAGCAGAUAAGGAUGCUGCAUUUUCAACUAUAUAUUAGUAAUAUUUAUUUUGUAUUUUCAUUCGAAAAAGUAGGCUGGGCUUACCAAUACAGACCUCUUUACUUUAUAUUCUCAAUCUUUCUAUUUGAAAAUCAUUUGGGAUAAGUCAUGCACGAAAGAAAAAUCAAAGGAGAGUAUAUGCUUUAAGAUGGAUAAUUUUCUUUAUUAAAAAAAUUGUCAACCAUGUUAAGCGUAAUCUCCAAAUCCACAAAGUACAAUAGCCGUCACUGCUCCACGUUUGAAUCUUUAAAACUUCCAAAUGAAUCUCGUGUUUAGUUAACGAUAUUGCUUAUGUAUGGUUACAUUUUUUGUCCCAUUCAUAAUUAAAAAUGGUUGAAGUUCAAAAACAAACAAUUAAAAAUGGUUUGUUCGUUCCUUAAUGUGGAUUAAAGGCUACAAUUAAAUACUAGAAAGUUAGAAACUAAAAGGGAUUCCAUAGCAAUAAGACUUUGUUCAUACGGUACAGCAUUGGUGAAUAACGAUGUGUGUAGUUGUAAGUUAUCAUAUUACUUUUUUUGUGGUAGCUUGGCCAAUUGUUUAGCAACAAUUAUUUGAUAUUUCAUAUAUAGUCUUAAAACAAUACAAUUUAAGUACAAUAGUUACAAAAUCCAGUAGAAAUAGUAACUAUUUCACAACAGAAGCCCUAAAUAUUUCUAAACAUAACUUUUGCUGUGGUUAAAAAAAAACAUAACUUUUGCUACUUACUACACACCCACUGGCCACUGGCACGUACUGAUCCAAACUUCGUACCUUUUAUUAGCGUCCAGGGAACAGUCGACCGUGUUCCAUUUUCAUUGGAGACGCGGGAAAGCAACUUGGAGAACAAUCGAGGAAUUAAAUGAAAUUUGGAGAAGGACAUAGAAAGGUCACAGAAUCCAGUUUUCUUGGAUAUACAUAUCUAGAAUGACCCUACGACUAGUCACAUAACAAAAAAGCUACAAAUAGUAAUAAGUGGUCUGUCCGAUAAGGCACAACACCAACGCAUAUUUAGCUGUCGUGUCCAAAAAGUAAAGAAUAAUAUUAUUAUGUUAUUGACCAAAAAUCUCCAAUAUCCAUUUAAUUUCUUAUACAUUAUACAAAUUUCUCAUUCGAUGAAUCUGCCCUUUUUAUUUCGGAUAAUCUUCUGUAAUGUAUAAGAAGACCGUCGAGAUUGUUUUCUAUAUAAUAUAUAUUUCUAUAAAUAGGGGCAACCUAAGACGAACAACAUCUCCACUUCCCUUAUUUGAUCUUAUCCUUAUCUUCUUUCUUGUUCUAUUUCGCUUUUAACCUCUAUCUCUCUGAUAAUCAUUUCAUCUUCUUGUUUAACUUCUUGAGAUCGUUGUCUGAUUCUAGAGCUGUUAUUAAUUAACCAAAGAUAAAUGUCAAUUGACGGAGUAAUUAUGAAAUGAGAAAUCUAAACCAGUUCUCUAGAUUCCUCGUUUAUCAUUCUGUAUCCGUUGUGAUUCUCCACUGGUUUUACGUCUUUUCUUGAACAAUUUUAUUUUAUUUUUCAAUUUUUUCCCGCAAAGUGUUAGGACAAGAACAUGGCAAACGCAGAGAAGACAAGUUCAGGUUCCGACAUAGAUGAGAAAAAGAGGAAACGCAAACUGUCAAACCGCGAAUCAGCUAGAAGGUCGCGUCUGAAGAAACAGAAGUUAAUGGAAGACACCAUCAUCGAGAUCUCAGCUCUCGAGAGACGAAUCAAAGAGAACACCGAGAGAUGCAAAGUGGCGAGACGGAGGCUAGACUCGCUCGAGUCUGAAAACGUUGCUUUGAGAUCGGAGAAGACGUGGCUUUUGAGCUAUGUCAGCGAUUUAGAGAACAUGAUCGCCACGACUUCCUUAACGCUGAUGCAUAGUGGCGGCGAUGACGAGAACGUAAGCGUGGAAAUAGCUGCUGGAGAUUGUAGACGUGGACCGAUGCACGAGUAUGGUUGUGGUUCUCUACAAACACUUGCGUCCUUCAAAACAUGAGCAUUGUGUAUUUUUAAGUUUGUAUCUUAUCAUAUUGAAUUGUUUUCUCCUCAGACAUUCAAAUUAGAUGAUGGAAGUUUUUACUUGUUGAUGCGUUGUAAGUUUGUAACACAUAAACUCGUUCUCGCACAUCUCCUGGGAACCUCUAAAUGAUACUAAGCUAAGAGACGACCUCUUAUUCAAAUAACUGGAGUAAGUGUUUGUGGCUGUCAUCAGAUUUCCUACCCACUUUAACGGUUGCAGAUCAUAAGAUUAAUAUUGUUUUCACAUCUUAAUCCUUAAUGUUUUGUUCUUUAACAUUUUUGUUCAUUUUUGGGGAUUUAAAUAACUUUUGUAUCACUUUCAUUUUCAUUAAUAAAUAAUUUAACAAAAAAAUGGAUUUAAGUGUAAUCAAAGGUGGUGUUUCAAAUCAAGAUACUUGUAUUCUUGAAGUUGUGUGUUGAGUUCUACUGUUCUUCUCAUUCUCAGCGCUCUGUUUAGAUUAUGGGUAUAGCAAAAGAUCUGAGAGUCCUUGGAGUGAUUCUUGUUUCUCAUUAAAAGAAAAAGAAUGCUUACCAUUUACUAAUCCUAGCUAAAAAAGGUUGAAUCAAACGUUGCUUAGUCUUGACUCUUGAAGACGAACGAAACAUAUCUUUACCAAGAGCGACAUUUCAACUACCAUCACAUCUUUAAAGGACAGAACUGUAUAGUUGUUGUAACCAAUAAACAAAUUUAGCCACUAAUCUGUAUUUACUGUUACUAAUCAGACAUUACAUUAGCUGUCAAGGAUAAGAGAAAAUCAUUUUUUAGGUAGAAGUUGUGAUCUAAUGUGGCGCGCCCACAUGGUCGAUGAUCACUAAGGGAGAGAGCUUAUUGUCUCCCUCCCAUUUCUAUAUUUAAUGUUUCCUCUCUAACCACUCUUAUCCUAUCACCACGAUUCCUCGGACUAGGUCCGUUCUCCUUUCUCCCACACCCUCUCUCCUAGCUUUUUAGAUAUGUCGUGAUUCAGAUUUGAUACAAAAGUUUCGAUAUUUAUGAGGAGGAGGGUGCGUAAAGCUCGAAACUUUAUCCACUUCUAUAGGUUCGUUAAUGUAGUAAAGUAGCAGACUUUUCAAAUCUUUUUCGAUUAGUGUUUGCGACAUUCAAAGUGGAACACUUUGUUACAGUUAACGCAUUGCUUGUGUCUUCUAGUUUAACCAAAACUCUGGAUCUGAUCAUUGUUCUGUUUUGAUUCUCAGUUUCACUUUUUUGAGCUCUUCCCAAAAAUGGCAACGAAACAGCUGUAACAGUGGAAAGCUACACGCUCUCAAAGGCAAAAACCUCGUACUCAACGUUGAUGGAGCCAUUGGAUCUUUUUUCUUGGACCUUCUAGCUGGAAGUGAGAUGUUCACUAAGCAAGAGAUUGACGAGAUUGUUCAGAUCGGUUAUCUGAAUGGUCUCUUUGUUCUUGCUCGCUCCAUUGGUUUGAUUGGACACACAUUUGAUCAGAAAGGUUGAAGCAGCCAUUGUACCGUCACCCAUGGGAAGAUGUGUUGUACACUGUGCCUAUUUUUUUUUUUGGCACUGUUCUAGUUAAAUUAGCUUUUAUAUUAUACUGAGAGAUGUUACUAAAACAUGUAUGCCUAUGCUUUUCCUUCUCCUUUGUUGUGAUGUUAUGUUUGCUUUCUACUUAUUUUUUGCUAUAUGCAUACUGUUUUUAUCUUUACAUCAAGAUCUCUAAACAAUUAAAUCAGUGACAUUUUUUCUUACAUAUUUGUUUGGUAGCACUAGCAAUGCAUUUGGACUGAUUAACAAGAGAUUGAUGAAUUUGAAGUCUGGCAUUGAAAUAUUUUCUCUCAUCAAUCUCUUUAACUUUGUGUGUUCAUGAUUUGCUGUAUGGUCUUGUAUGAUUAAAGUUCAUUAUAGAAAACAAUGCAUCAAAUAUGCAGUCAAUUAAUUUCUCAUCAAUUUAUUACUCCAAACAUGAAAAUAAUGAAUAAAUAAAAGUUAAAAUAAAAUUUAAAAGGGCUUUAUUAAUCAAAAAAAAAACCAUGGCCCAUCAUGAGCCCGAAGGCCGAAACUCAAUAUCUUUAAGAUUAAACUCAAUAACCAAACAAAAAGAUGUAAAGAUGUGGCUGCUGGGAUUCGAGCCCAGGUCUCCACGGCCACAACGUGGAAUUCUCACCACUAAACUACAGCCACAGUUGAGAUAACACCCGAAACAAACUAAUUUAUUCGCAACCCAUCGCACGUGACCGAACCCUUCCCUAGGUGCUAAAAUAACAGCAAAACGCAUCGUUUAAAGGGCCAAGUUCGUUUUAGUUGUUCUGUUUCUUCUUCUAUCCAAGUGCGUUUCUCCACCAAAAAAAAAUCCUUGGCCUUCUACACACCGAUGCUCAACAACACUAACAACACCAUAACCCUCACCUUAUACGCCUCUUUGAUUCUGAUCCUCUUCCUUUCGAAUAAUCAUCGAAACCUAAAUUGACUUAUCUCGGGGAAUCUGGAUUCAAUCCCGUCUCCGCCGAAUCCAAACGGACCUGAACGUUUCAACGCCUCACUAAACCGCCGCCGUUUUCUUGAACACUUAGACGCGAGGUUCGACGAACUUUUUCUUAUACUUUUGUUUCCUGUUUUGAGGGAUUUUUGUUGAAGGUGAGGAACUAUUCGAUGGUGUUGUGCAUGUGCUGUGGCCAAUCUGGAUUUUGUAUUGCAACGUUUGAUUGAAUUUGCGUUCUGGUUGUUAGAGAUCGGGCGUUUCGAAUUUAGGGUUUGGAGUUUUAAUGUUGCAGAUAGAUACAAUGUGUUAUGGUUUUGGUCUGUGAUCGUUGUUGGUUCAGUCUCUAAGCUCUCUUGUUUAUUUGAAAGUUAACUUACAUUUUGAUUUGAUGUGGAUUUGGUGAAAAGCUUUGGUACUUCAGCUAUGUAGUUUUAAGUCCCUUUUGGUGCGCAAUGGUGAUCCUUGUGAUCGAUAAAUAUUGUAUUUUAAACAUUAGUACAAUGAUAGAGUAGAGAUAGGUAAGCAUUUGUAAAAGGAUGAUACUACUCCAAGUUGUUCGCUUUUUUUCUUUAUCAUGUAGUAAUUUAGAUAGUUUUGUGUGACGAAUUAAAUAGGAACUACAUGGUUAAGGAUUUUUGGUGUGCUCAAAGUGUAGAGAUGCAUUGGUUUCGACGUUCCUUGCGAUCCCUCUAGAUCUCUGAUGUUGUCCUGUAAUUUUCCGUAGAGUAGAACUAAGAGAAGAACUGAUAGGAACACGUGGUUAGGGAUGUUUUAUUCGCUCAAAGCUUAGAGAUGAUGUUAUCUGUAGUUUUCCAAAGUAUAACUAACAGAAGAUUGCUUUGGAUCUUAUUUUCACUUCUGUUAUUGGUUGAAAAUAAUAUAUCUUUUUGAAGUUUGCGUCUGUCUUUUUGGGUUGUAGCUGUUUUCUUUGCGUUGAUAACUGACGUCGAUAUCUGGAAAAUUGACAGGGUCUGAUGGCUCUUAGGAAAAAUACUCCGAAAGCCGAUUCAGUCUCUCCCCCGAUGAAACCUUUGAGUUUAUCUAAAAAAUUGCCAGGGAAUGUGCAGAUGGCAGACCCAGAUAUUGCUCAAAAUGUUGUACCUAACAUCGACUUGGAUAUGCGGGAAGUUUACUUUUUGAUGCUCCACUUACUUUCCUCUGGGCCAUGCCAGAGAACUUAUGCACUGUUGCGACAUGAACUUCUUGAGCAUGAGCUUCUUCCUAGAAGAUAUCAUGCUUGGUACUCUAGGAGUGGGUUGCCUAGUGGGGAUGAGAAUGAUGAUGGAGAUUCCUUUCCUCUAAACUAUGCUGAGUUGGUCAAGAGGUAACUUGUUGAGCUUCUCUCACUCACUGACUGUAGUACUUAUGGGAAAUCAUAUGAAUUUGUAUGUGAAGAAGUUAAUCAUUGGUCAUUCAUUUAUUGCAUAUGUAUUUUCAUAUUUAAUAGUGACUUGUAUAGGUUUCUUUUCGCCAGAGAUCCUUACGUGUUUCAUGACAUUUACUGUGCACUCUCAGGUAUUCUCACGUAAAAAAAGAUCACUUGGUGGAGCUCCUGAAGCAAUUGGUCUUUGUUUCAAGUAGGCCUACUCCCUCACGCGGUCUCGGUGAUGGAAAUGGAAACAAACUGAUUGCACCUGGUGUCCCAACUCUUUUAGGGACUGGCUCGUUCUCCCUUUUGAGCUGUAGGUGAUUUCUAAAAUUUGUUUUCUUAUUGGCGAGGAUAGUGUUGUCUUUUUUUUUGUGUGCUUAAUAGAGACAAACUUUCUCACAUGCACACACACAUAUAUUAGCAUACAUGUAUAAACACAAACUAUAAUAAACCAAUUUCUCUUAGAAUUUACUUAGGACUUGUUAUGCAUUUACGAAGCUCCGUUUCAAAAUCUUGGUUCGCUAAAGCUGCCUCGUUUGGUUUGCAGAUGACAAGGACAUAGUUGGAAGUGAUCUCAAACCACCACCUAUUAGCAUGCGUUGGCCUCAUAUGCGUGCUGAUCAGGUGCGUGGUUUAAGUUUGAGGGAAAUUGGUGGUGGUUUUGCCAGACAUCAUCGAGCCCCAUCGAUUCGUGCAGCAUGUUAUGUCAUUGCAAAACCAUCUACAAUGGUACAAAAGAUGCAGAACAUCAAGAGGGUACGUGGACACAGAAAUGCUGUGUACUGUGGUAAGUAAUUUACUUUUUUAGAGGUGAAUCUUAAUACCAUGUUUCGUUGUCAAAUAUUACACUAAUCAUUGGGAUGAACUGGAUGCCUGAACCUAUAUGAAUAUGCUGCAGCUAUAUUUGAUCGCUCAGGAAGGUAUGUAAUCACUGGUUCAGAUGAUCGCCUUGUAAAAGUAUGGUCAAUGGAGACUGCAUACUGCCUGACCAGCUGUCGAGGGCAUGAAGUGAGUUCGAAAUACUCUCUGAGCUUACUAUAAUCUUGUUACUGUAUUCUUAGGUGGUGUUUAAAUUUUUGUUUCUGCUGCAUAUGCAAGGGUGACAUAACUGAUCUUGCUGUGAGUUCAAACAACACUUUCAUAGCAUCCGCAUCAAAUGAUUGUGUAAUCCGCGUUGUAAGUUUCUUAUAUCGUCCUCUGUAUAUGUUACCACUAUAAUUUCAUACAGUAGCCUCCUUGACGAGUUCACCGUCUGGAUUUUUUCUAGUGGCGAUUGCCAGAUGGCUUACCAGUUUCGGUACUUCGUGGACAUACUGGAGCUGUUACUGCUAUUGCAUUUAGUCCCAGACCUGGAUCCCCGUACCAGCUUCUUUCGUAAGAAUUGUUCUCCAGUUCUUUUUGGCAUCACUAUACACAAUUCAUAUUGUGGAUUUUCAGUUUAUUGCCUAUGUAGUAUGUUUUGAAAUAUUGAAUUAAUUAACCUCUUGGCCACAAAGCUGGAAAGUUGGGUGCACUCCAGUUCGUUCUCUCCUUCAGAUGGAAUAUCUGAUGUUAUGUUAUUAUUGAGCUCUGAAAUGUAUAUCUACUAUGUAAUGUGUCUUAAGAUUUAUUUGCUUAUCUGGAAAAGGUGUUUCAUUCUAUUUGGCAUCUUUAAAAACUGCUUUGUCCCUUUGUUAAAUUUCUACAGAUCGUCAGAUGAUGGUACAUGUAGAAUAUGGGAUGCUCGGGGUGCUCAAUUUGCUCCGCGAAUAUAUCUCCCUAGGCCUCCUAGUCCUGAUGGUGAUAGCUCUACGGUCUUAGCUUAUUGAUUAUUGCUUUGAUUUACUGAAAGCUGUUGGAUUGACUAUGGAAACAUAUUGCAGGAAAGAACAAUCUCCCUUCUUCUAGUAAUGCUCAGCAGAGUCACCAAAUCUUCUGCUGCGCAUUCAAUGCCAAUGGAUCUGUAUUUGUCACUGGCAGCUCUGACACUCUUGCUAGAGUAUACUCGGUACUGAUAUAUGUUUUCCUUACUGUAUCUUGAUUUGAGUUUAAACUGGCCAAUCAACAGUUACAUUCUACCAAAUUUUAUAGGGAUGACUUAAUUACAAAAGGUGUUUCCUUGGUCGCAGGUUUGGAGUGCUAACAAGAUCAAUAAUGAUGAUCCGGAUCAGCCAAAUCAUGAGAUGGAUGUUCUGGCUGGACAUGAGAAUGAUGUUAAUUACGUUCAGUUCAGGUUAGCCAACCGCUUUUGAAAUUACAUUUCUUAUGAGGUCCUCAUUGUCUUAUCCUAAUUUGAUGUGGUGCUUUCCAGUGGUUGUGCUGCAGGAUAUAAAUUUGCCGUAACUGACUACUCAAAAGACGAUAGUGUUCCAAAAUUUAAGAAUUCCUGGUGUGUGCUAUCUGUUGCAUGUUGCAAAUUGCAAUUACAAUUAGUAUUAACCUUUAUCUAUGUUUUGUGUUUGACAUUCAAUAACACAUGUAUUUUCUAGGUUCUGUCAUGAUAACAUAGUUACAUGCUCUCGUGAUGGUAGUGCAAUCAUUUGGAUCCCAAGAUCACGGAGAUCACAUGUAACAUUUAUUUUCGCUUUGAUAAUUACGAACUUCACCUAAUUCAGUACGUUUUUAUCGGACCAGAAACCCAGAUCUUUGUUUACGUCUUUCAGGGGAAAAGCUGCCGAUGGACACGAGCAUAUCAUCUCAAGGUUCCACCUCCGCCCAUGCCUCCUCAACCUCCUAGAGGCGGGCCACGUCAAAGGAUCCUGCCUACUCCUCGUGGGGUUAACAUGAUUGCUUGGAGUCUGGAUAAUCGUUUUGUCCUUGCGGCUAUCAUGGGUAACACUUGUUUUGACACUCUUGAUUGCUAAGAGUUUAUCCAUGCCUGUUUCUUAUAGCGCUCUACUCUUGCUAACUAGAAUCACUUUCAAUGUUAAGAUUGUAGGAUAUGCGUGUGGAAUGCCUCUGAUGGUAGCUUGGUACAUUCUUUGACUGGCCAUACAGCAUCUGUGAGUGCUUGACCCUUCUGUAUAUUUAUCCCCUAUCAUAGAUUUGGUUGACCGUCUUAAGACUGUUUCAGAAUUGUUAAAACUUUUGAAAAGUAAGAAUUUACUCCCCACGCCUAUAAAAAUGAACACAAAACCAUACUUCUUCUAAGCAGAUUAUGAAUUUGCUUCCACACUAUUUUUACCAUUCCCAAUUCUGCCUACUACCAUUUAUGCCUUGUUACAUUGUCUGGCUCUGUUUUAGUUUUCCAGGUAUGAUUCCCCCUUAGUACCUUGUAUUACCGUUAUCAACAUGUUAUACUUAUUGUUUGUAGACAUAUGUUAUGGACGUCCAUCCUUUUAAUCCUCGGAUAGCUAUGAGUGCUGGCUAUGAUGGACAAACAAUAGUGUGGGAUGUAAGUCUUACUUUCUCUACUGUCUAAUCGCUUCUUUUCGUAUUUCCUAAAGCCUUUAUUCUCUUCUUCUAGAUAUGGGAAGGCAUACCUAUCGAAACAUACAAGAUUUCACACUUCAAGUUGGUCGAUGGGAAGUUUUCACCGUAAGCAAAUAGUUUUGUUCUGUACUCGUUAUGCUCUUACUACAUCUGAUUGCUAAUCUGUAUCUUUAUAAUUAGGGAUGGAACGUCAAUUAUACUUUCAGAUGAUGUGGGCCAACUCUACGUAUUAAGCACAGGCCAAGGGGAUUCUCAAAAGGACGCUAAAUACGACCAGGUACCUAUAUAACUUCAGUUGCGAAUGAAGCUUCAUUACUGUACUUCUAAUUACUACAUUUAUGAUAGAUAAUACAGAAAUUCAUAUAUCUUUUAGUUCUGUUACUUGGAGAAACAAAAUAAAACUCCCUUUUUCAUAUUUUGUGAAAUGAAAUAUCCUUAUGAUUUCUCUGUGGAUCUUGCAGUUCUUCUUGGGGGAUUAUCGGCCAUUAAUUCAUGACCUAUAUGGUAAUGUCCUUGACCAGGUAAAUGGCUCAUCUUUUACCCUUCUAGUGAUUCUACUUGUAAAAUUGGAUAAAUAAUUUUUUUUAUCUCUGAAAUUCUGCUUGUUAUAGGCAUAGUUUAAUCUAUGCGUUUGGAAACUCAUCUUAUUUACCCUUCUAGUGAUUCUACUUAUGAAAUUGGAUAAAAAGUUUCUUUUAUCUCUGCAAUUCUGCUUGUUAUAUGUAUAAUUUAAUCACUAAUAGGCAUCUGGAAACUUUGAUUCAGGAAUCUCAGCUUCCGCCUUAUCGCCGAAAUAUGGAGGAUCCUCUUUGUGAUUCAGGUUUUACUAUCUUUUACUAUGGUUACAAGUGAUUUGUGGAUCCUUCUACUCAGGGUGGGCAUGUUAUUCACUCUCUGUCGUUCUGAAUUCCAGCGAUGAUUCCAUAUGAAGAGCCAUAUCAGACAAUGUUUCAGAAACGGCGACUUGGCGCCUUAGGCAAAGAUUGGCGACCAUCUGCUUUAAAGCUGGCUGUAGGGCCAGAUAUCACUUUGGAUCAAGAUUACCAAAUGCCACCUCUGGCAGAUCUAGACUUAGCUGAACCGUUGCCAGAAUUUGUAGACGUGAUGGAGUGGGAACCAGAAGUCGAUAUCUUGAGCGAUGAAAAUGACUCCGAAUACAAUGUGCCAGAAGAGUAUUCGUCUGAAAAAGAGCAAGAAUGUUUAAACUCUUCAACCUCUGGUGAGUCAGGUUCUAGUUCUAGUGAAAGCGAUGAGGACGGUGAUCAUCAGAAUAGCCUUAGAAGAUCCAAAAGAAAAAGACAUAAGACAGGAGUGAGUAUUUUGUAAUAUUUGCCUUGAUCUUGUGCCUAAAUAUGCUACUUAUCCCUUUUUUACCUCUUUACUAGGCUGGGAUCAUGACUUCUUCGGGUAGGCGUGUUAAAAAGAAAAACGUUGAUGAGCUUGAAGGAGCUACAAACAAGAACAAACGUAGCAGGAAAUCUAGGAAUGGUCGUAAAGAAUCGAAUAGAAAAUCAUCAAAAUCUAAAUCGUCCAGACCUAGGCGAGCAGCUGCUCAAAAUGCCCUCUCUUGGUUUUCUAAGAUUACUGGUAGAUCUAAAGAUGCAGAAGAAGAGGAGGAUGUCUCUGAAUUGAGUGGGUCAUCAGAAAGUGAAUCGACAACACAGGACUCAGGCACUGGGGAUAGUGAACUUGAUGUAGCUUUGUUAAAUGGGCAUGGCAAGCAAUCAAAAGGGAAAAACAUUCUCGUAUGUGAUUCAGACGAUGGGGCUCAACAGUGUGAUAUUAGAUCGUAUGUGAUUCAGACGAUGGGGCUCAAGAGUGUGAUAUUAGGGAAACUCAUGCUGCUGAACGGAAGAGAUUGGUUGUCAGGUUUCCUGUUAAGAACUCAGAUAAGCUUACCUUGCUGGAGAACCUACCUGGAACAUCUUCUCAUGUUCCAACUCCAACUUUAGGGAAUGGCUGUGCGGAAGACUCGAGCGUUCCUGAGAACCUUGGACACACUAACCAAUUUAAUGGGUUAGAUGCAAGUGAAGUCAAAUGGGGAAUGGUUAAGGCUCGUACAUCAAAGCGAAUGAGAUAUGAAGCAAAAUCAUCGCAUGGACUUAUGGGCUCUGAGCCAGAGGGAAAAGAAAAGAAUGUUAACGAAGAUGAAAAUCACGAUAAUGGUGUUUCAGCACCUAGUUGUUUGGGAACAGAUACAGAUGGCGUUGCAGUUGACGCCCACUUGGCGAUUUCUAAUGGUUUGCCAAACGGUGAUGAACGAUGCCUAAUGGAUGGGUCGCCAAAUCGAAUGGCUGAUGACGGUGCUUCUAAAUGUUCUCAGGACGUAACCGGUCCCCUGCAUGAUCUGAAAGAUAGCCUUCCACCUCUCUCUAGAACGUUGAGGAUACGCUCCAAGAGGGCUUCAAGGGCUCCUGAUACAUCUUUGAAGCAAGAAGUAAAAUCUUCAUCAAUAAAUGAGGAGAAUGGUGGCUUUGUCGUAAAUGAUGGUUCUGCAGACACUAGAUGUGAUUUGGCAUUGGAAUCUCAAAAUGAUGGUGUGGUUGGAACAGAGCAGUCUCUGAGAAAUGAUUCAGCGCAUGAAUCAAAUCCGCCGAUCGGUGACCCUGUCUCUAUUGCUAAUGAUGUUCAUGUGUCACAUCCUAAACGGAUGUUUGAUUUUGUCUAUAGACGACUGAAGUCACGAAAGCAUAAGAAUAACUUAGACGGGGGUGCUACUCUUAGUCAAGAAAUAAGUCUAGGUUCUUGUAGUCAGGAUCAGAGUAGUGGCGCUAAUUCCCAUGAAGUUGUCGCUAAUGGGUUCCGUGGGACGGAGUCGAAUGGAUUGGAGAAGUCGGAAGGCAGUUUGACAGACAGCCGAGAUAAACUAAGUAAUUCACGCGGAAACCAAAACUCUCAAGAAGAAGAGAGAUCAACUUCUGGGGCAACACUUCGGUUGAGAUCAACAAGGAAUAGAAGGUCUACUUAUCCUUUUAGUGAAACUAAACCUGCUGAAACAAAAAAGCCUCAGCAGUCAACAGAAAAGGUAUCCUGGUUGACAUUGUCGACACAUGAAGAGGGUUCUCGUUAUAUUCCACAAAAGGGGGAUGAAGUUGCGUAUUUGCGACAGGUAAGUGUUUGUAGUUUUCUUAUACGUUGUCUCGCUUAGUCAACCUUUGUUUGAUAUCGGCUGUUACUCGUAUCUUUCAGGGGCAUCAAGAAUACUUAAACUUUAGCUCUCCGAGGGAAGUGGCUCCUUGGACUUCAAUAAAGGGAGGAAAUAUGAAAGCGGUGGAAAUUUGUAAAGUGGAAAGUCUUGAAUACGCAACACUUGCUGGUUCUGGGGAUAGCUGCUGCAAAAUGAUACUUGAAGUCAUCGAUCCAAACUCUGAAGUGUUCAACAAAACUUUCAAACUUACAUUGCCUGAUGUGGUGACAUUUCCAGAUUUUCUAGUGGAAAGAAGUCGGUAUGAAGCGGCAAUACAGAGGAACUGGACUUUCAGGGAUAAAUGUAAGGUUUGGUGGAGAGACGAAGGCGAAGAAGAUGGUAGCUGGUGGGAAGGACGGAUCCUAGCUGUGAAAGCCAAAUCACCUGAUUUUCCUGAUAGUCCGUGGGAGAGGUACACAGUUAAAUACAAGAGUGAUCCGACUGAGACGCAUCUUCACAGUCCCUGGGAGCUUUUUGAUGCUGAUACCAAGUGGGAGCAGCCUCACAUUGAUGAUGAUGAACGAAAGCGUCUUCUCUUGGCCUUAACAAAGUUAGAGACUUCAAAUAAAAGAACCAAGGUUUGUGAUUCUGAUCAAAUUUAACAUUUUCAUGGUAUUAAUUCCAUUCUAUCCUGGCCGCCAAGUUCUUAAUGAAACAAUCUCUACUUAAUUGGUUUCAGGAUUCUUUUGGCCUUCAAAAACUGAACCAGACCGUGGGAAGCUCCAGCUAUACCAACAUGUAAGUUUCUUUAACACUAGGAGGAUCUUGAUGGUAGACGAAGCUGACAUGGUUUUGUAUAAUGGAUUCAUGUGCAGGUUCCCAGUUCCUUUGUCUCUUGACGUAAUCAGAUCAAGGCUUGAGAAUAACUACUACCGGAGUGUGGAAGCAUUAAGACACGACGUAGCAGUUAUGUUGUCCAAUGCAGAAACUUUCUUUGGUCGAAAUAAAAGCGUAGCGGCCAAAAUCUCACAUCUCUCUAAAUGGUUCGACCGCACGCUACCCUCGUAGCAGUAGUGCCCUAUGUAGAUAAAAUCUCUGCUUUUUUUCUCAUGUCCCAAAUUCUUAGUUAGGGUUUCAGUAUUUUUUUCUCAAAACCUCUAAUUCUAAUGAAUGGAGAGAAUAUUAGGAGUUUUUUCUAUGAUUUUUCUUAGGGGAUUUUAGGUUUAGGGUUAGUUGAAAAGAAUCUUUUCUGUGUAAGUAAAGAAAUAUUGGAGAGGUCAAAAACAUUUGAUGCUUUGGAGAACAGAGAACCAUCUUCCGUUGAAUGAUCCAACCCAAUUUCAGUAUGAAUUUAUUGUGGACAACUACAUGAAAAUGGACAGAACUUUUGUCUAUCAGAUGGGUAAGAAAGAUGCUCAUACUACACAGAAAUCAAAAUUUGAUGAUACUAGACAGUAUCUAUAUUAACCUAUACUAUAUACAUCAACAAUAACAUACAAAACAAGUCCUUCACUUGCUGGUAUUUUGUAUUUUCCUGGGGUUUACAUGAUAUGAUGGAUGAUAUUGAAAGGUGGAAAUUUUUCUUGUGGGUCAAUUAAGCAAGCUCUGGAAACUAAAAGGAGAUUCUCAAAUCCAUCACCGUAUUACAACACAGCCAUAAAAGGCUGAGAAAAAGCAAAGUUGAAACUUGAGAAAAGGAAGAGUUUCUAAUGUAGCUCAAAAUGAUUCACUCUAGAAAGGCAUAUAACAUUUUUCAUCAUCCCUCAAAACCAAUUCAACGACGCUUGUUGCUGCUGUGCCUCUUGCUCUUCUUCUUUCUACUGCUUCUGUCUUCAUCAGACUCAGAGUCCGAAGCUGAUUCCGAAUCAGAUGACUCCUCAGACGAAGAAGAGCUGUAUUUUCUUCUCCGCCUUUCCUUCCUCUGCUUUGGCUUCUUCUUGCUCUUCCUCUUAUUCCUUCUCCUCCUCCUCCUUUCCUCCUCUGAGUCCGAAGAUGAGCUGUCCUCCGAAUCACUCUCUCCAGACGAUUCAGAGCCGUCACUACUAUCUGUUUCAAACACAGAGGCUUCACUGUCACUGCCAGACUCAGAUUUAGACCUCUGCUUUCUCUUGCUCUUCUUGGACGCCCGCCUCUCACCUUCUUCAUCUUUCCCGUUUCCUGCAUCUAGCUUCUCAUCAUCAUCACCAUCAAGAUCAUCAACAGAAGGCUUCAUCCUCAGCUUAGGAUUCUUAAGCUGCUGAGUUCUCGAAGGCCUAGAGAUGUAAACCCUCUCGUUCUUGCACUCAUAAGUCCAGUGCCCUGUCUGGAAACACUUCUGGCACUGCGAAGCCGCCAAGCUGCUUCCUCCCACCACCGAUGCCGACACUGACCUGUCCUUCCUUUCACCAAGCCUCACAGCUUUCUCAGUACUCAUCAAAUACAUCUGCCUCUUGGCUUCCCUCUUCUCCUGCCAUCGGCUAGGACCUUCUUCCUUCUGACCGUAAGCGUUGACGUUUCUGGAAGCAGCAGCAGCAGCUCGCUCAGCUUGGGUGCGGCUUAAGCCUUUGGAAGCGGUGAGUGCUGCAGCUUUGAUCCUGUCUGCUGCAACCUGUGCUUUCUCAUCCUUUGAUUCAGACAUGUCUUCUGUCUCUUUUGAGCAAACCAGAGACUCUUUCUUAUCUGCAAUUAACGAAAACACCAUACGUUCAGACCAAAAGUAUGUAAAAGACGGUUUCAGACACUGACGGUCUCUUCGAACAGAUUGGAAACAGAAUCUGUAACUCUUCAACAAGUAGAAUCAGUUACAAAUCUGAACAACGAAGGAUUUAAUAGGUAUUUCUACUAAGAGUUUACGAUUAAAUCUAGGAAUAGAAUGAGCAGCCAACGAGCCUUAUCGCGAUCUAUUUGUUCAAAAUCUCAAGAUCUAUACAAAUCCUUGGGAAAACAAUAAAAGGAAAAACUUACGAUGGGGGCACGAAAAGGAAGAUCGAAAGCAGCUUCUUGCUUGCUUGGGAGGAACCAGUGGAGCGAAUUUGAGAGACAGAGUAACAAAGGAAGGCGGCGCUCUCUCACACUGGCUUAGAGGGAGGAAGAAAGAAACUGACAAAAAAACUCUUCCCUAAUUUUCUUUUCUCGACCCCAUAAGACAAUCUUCUUUAUGAAAAAACCCCUACGUUUUCGAAUUUGCAUUUUUACCAUGUAAUGUUAAAUUUCGUCAAUUAAAAAUGAUCUAAGAGAAUCUACCCACACAAAAAAAACACCUAACUAGGAAACAAAUUUCCAUGAUAGAUGUACUCAUUAACAAAACCCCCUCCUUAGUCGUUGUAUCUAUACUAUUAAAGCAUGAUCCUGUUGUCAUAAUUACCUUAGAGGCAUGUUUCUUUCACUAACAUUGCAUGUUUCAUUAAGGGCAAUUAAGUAAUAUUAUUAACAAAUCUAUAUUGGGUCAUUAUUUUUGGAUCCAGCCCAAAUCAAAUCUCUCUUGGGCCAUUUGGACCUAUUAAAAAAUCAGAUUCAAUUCUCACUAUUUUUUUUCCUUUGGGCCAUUGAGUCCAAGUUCAAAUAAUUUUUUUCAACUAUUCUUAAUUAUUAUUUUUUUCUUUUCUUAAUAUAAUUUAAGCAUUCAUAAAAAUAAUUGAAUUUUUUUAUUGAAAAGUAUAAAUCUUUAUUAAAAGUAUAUAAUUUUUUAAUUAAAAUAUUAACCCCAUAAUAAAAUUAAUUUAUCAGAGUUAUACCAACUUAAUUCAUUAAAAAAAUAAAGUUUAAUUUUUUUAACAUAAAUAGUCAUUUAAAAUGAAAUACGAUAAAUAAAGAUAAAAUUUUUAAGUCUUUUAUAAAAUAAAACACAAAUAUAUGAAAAUGUGACAUUUACUAAAUAUUUGUCAAUUGAAAAAAAAAACAAAAAUAAACCCACGCUUUGAAAGCGCGGAUCAAAAUCUAAUCUUAUCUUAAAGAGUGUUAUUCAUUGAUGUAUUUAAGAAAAAAUUAAACACAAUUUUUUUUCAUAUUAAACACAAUUUAUUGUUUAUCUGAAUGAUGAUUUUAUAUUCUAAUAUUACCUAAUCAAUGAUUUAAAUCAAGUUUUUAAAAUCUAAUGGUAUUUUUUUUUUAUAUUUUAAAUUGAUUUCGAAUUUCAUGAAUAAAUGGCUGAAAUCAAAAUACAAGGCAUAUUAUACCGAUUUUAAAAUUAACCAACUCAAAUAUUAAAAAUUGAUGGAAUAACACCUCCUUAGUAUUAUUUAUGUGUUUGGUUAUAUAAUACACACAAAAAAAGAAAAUCCGGCAUGGAUCCUUGGUCGACUAGGAAGGAGAUAGCUACCGAUAAGCGUAACAAAAACAACUGACAUACCGGUCAUGAUGAGCAACGACAACAACACAGUAAUUUCAUAUAAAAAAACUUGGAUCUUGAUGUCGAAUAGAUAUAGCUCACUAAUGCUACAUAUAAUAUUAUCCGUCAUUUAAAAUACCUAUCCAUUACAAUAGUUAAUAUUUUUUGUUAAUACAUCGAAUAGCCAUAGCACAAACUGAUAUAGCCGGUUAAUAUAUCACAUAACAAGAGUCAAACAAAAACAUGGAUGCAUACAUAACUUAGAAAUCUUUCGUAAUCUUAUCCAUCUUACAAAACACUUAUCAGUAACAAUAGUUAAUAUUGCUUGUUAAUAUAUCAAAUGGCAAGAGUCAAACAGAUAACAAACGUUGCAUAAAUAACUGAGUAAUCUUACAUCUAAUCUAUUAAUUUAGGAUUCUAUUUUUUAUUUACUAGCAAAAGUUGUCAUUUAAAUUUUAGACCAUUUCAUAAAUGCUUAAAUAAUAUCACACGAUACUUAAAAAUGAAACCUAUCCACUUAAAUUAAACCAUUUUCGGAUUGUAUUGAACAUACUUUGGUUAUCUAUUGGUACAAUAAUAUUACAAAAUUAAUUUACUCUUAUACUAACUUAUAAGUCCACGACUUAUACUAACGCAGCCCACGAAAGUUAUAUAUACCACAAGAUAAUCCAUUAGUUAAUAAUUGAUAUGAGCUCUCGAUCACUUCUAUAGCUAUGAAUUUUAUCUGUGCUUGAGCUUUAGCAUCAUUUUUUUUCUAAAUUCAAUAUAAAUAUAAUAUAUCCAAUCAGAUAACAAUUUUGCAUUUCCAAAAAAAGGGUCAAAAUCUAAAUAACGCUCAAGUCGAUGAUUCACCAUUGAUUCUUUAAACAUAUUUAAAAUAUAAAAAUAUUUAGUAACAAAAUAAAUAAAAUUAGAAAAUAUAACCAAAAAUAUAGAUAUCUAAUCAUAUCAAGAUUGAAAAUUUUAUAUCUCUAUUAAGAUCCAUACGCUCAAAUUGAACUCAAAAUUUGAUAGGAUUUCUAACAUUAUUAUUUAAACUAAAUCAAAAACCAAAAAAACAAACAAACCAAACCCAAAUUCAUAAGAACCAAACUAUUACUAUAUAUCUAUUUAUUGAACCGAAAACUAAAACCCAUGAUUGAAUCAGAACCAAAAUGAAAAUAUAAUGCGAACUGCAGUUUAUAAAAUAUCAUCCAAUAUAAAAUUUUAUUUUAAAAAACAUAAACUAUAAAUUUAAAUUUAAAUAUAUAUAAUCCCGUGCUGUUAAUCUAGUAAAGGUCUUACAUAAAGGUUUUCCAAAUUACAUAGCCGUAACACAAACUGACAUAACCGGUUAAUAUAUCACAUAUAAACAGUCAAACAGAAAACAAAGUUGCAUACAUAACUUGGAAAUCUUACAAAACAUUUUCCCAAAAUAUAUAGUCGUAACACAAACUGACAUAGCCGGUUAAUAUUCUUGCUGAUGUGUGUGGCCAGCAGCAAAAAUCUGAAAUGGUAACUCUAUGGUCUCCAUAAUUGCCAACAUGAACUUAGAUAGAAUCAAGACCUGAACUUGAACAGUAUAUGAAGCGUGUGUAAGCCCUCAUGCUGAAAUAGAUUCAAAAAGGAAACACAAGGAAAAAACUUACAAUCAUAAAAGAAACUAGUAAAUACGGUGAGACUGAAGAACAUGAUCUAGCGCGUAUGAAAUUAUUUUGGAGCAAGAAUUCCAACGAAGAAAUCAAAGCGAUUGAGAUAGAUGGAAGACUGUUUCGGAACAAGGGUUCCGUCGGAGAAACCAAAAAGAUUGGGAGAGAUGAAAGAUUGUUAGUAAACAAUAGUUCUGACGGAAAAAUCAAAGAGAUUGUGAGAGAAUGAGAAUUGUAACCACAAAGAAACCAAAGAGAUUGAGAGAGAUGAAAUAUAUAUUUAAAUAAGAGUAUAUCGAUUGUAAUGAUGAGCAUCGUCUCUCUAUGUAGGCAUAAUAAUGAAAUAUAAAGUUUUGAAAUGUAUUAGACACUAGGUUGCAGUAAAAGAUGAAUAGCGGUAAUAUGGACAUUUAAGAAAAAACACAUCAUCUGGAAAGUCGAAAUUUCAUCCCUGCAAAUAUGUUUUGUAUAUGCAGUGCAAUUUCUCUAUAUACUUUGUCAAGUGUUAAGAUAUUAGAGACGAUGUAUAAUUCUUUUCAGUUAUUGACCUUUAUGAUUAAGAUGGUAUAGGCUUUUUAAUGUAGCCCGUUUUAUGAAAAGCCCAUUAGUGUUCUUCGUUUAGUACAACAGAACGAUCAAUUCUCUAAAUUUAAAUGAGGAGCACAGUCAUCAAGAACUAGUUUUCAUUUUGUAAAUAAUUUAUAUCUCAAGUCAUUUUCUUACUGUGUUAUUAUAUUUUUUUGGAUCAAACUGUGUUAUUAUAUUUUAUAAUUUGUUUAUAUUUAGAAAUUUCUUGGUCUGAUAUUUUUUUAAAUGAAUAAAAAAUUAUGGGUUUGAAGACACAUUCAUCUCCUAGGGUAAGAUUUGAACUAUGUUAAAAAAACUUUUUUCUUGAAGAUCAAAUCUCUUAGAGCAUCUCCAAGGGAACUCUAUUUUUUCCUCUAUAAUUUACACUAAAAUAGAAUAAUUCUAUUAUAGAGUUGAAUUUGCUCCAACGGUUCACUCUAUAAUAGAGUUACUCUAUUUUAGAGUGAAAUAUAGAGAAAAUUAUAGUGUACCAUUGGAGAUGGUCUUAUUGCAAAACUUGAAUUUUAUUAGGUGAUCCAAAAAAAUUAGCCACCAAACUGAUUUAUCAUUGGUAAUUUUUGUAUACUCUAAAGGAAGUUAUUUCUAUUAUUGACAGAUGAAUAACCCUAAUAUUAACUUGUGAAAUUGACAUCAAAUCAUUGACAGACCUUCUAGAUCGUGUAAUUCUUCUUUAAAAACUUGAUCAAAUUGAUUUAGUUUUUUCUUAAUUUAUAUUGGUUUGGGUACCGUUCUUGAUAACUUAUAAAUACCAUAUGAUAGCAAUUAUUUCAGAAUUAUGACGUAACGUGUGAAAGAAGCAACCAUCACAUAAUUUGGAUUGUCUGUGAUGGCAUGACCCUCCAACUACUGUUUAUCCAUACGACAAAACUUUUUGAAGUCUUAUGGAUUGGAUCAAAAUCUAGAUUUGUUAUCAAAUUAGGCUCGUUUCGGGCCCAGCCUUGGCCUUAUCUCUUCUGUUUUCAAAUUCUUUUCCUACAAAUUGUAUUAGAUUAUAAUUUUCAGCUUACUAAAUAAUAUCGAAACUAAAGUGAGAAAAGUAUACUACCUUCUCGAGAUUAAAGUCCACACUGCUCGGUAUUUUAGUAUUUAUAAACUAUAGCUACAAUCUUGAAAGAUUAAUUUUUCUAAAAGUUCAUUAGAAAAAUCUAAAAAUUUGGUAUAAAUAUAUAGAAUAUAUGAUUAGAUUAGAUUAGAUUAGAUGAGAUGAGUUGAGUUGUGUGGAUAGAGUGCAAGACAAACCGAAAAAGGAAUCAGUAGUUAAGAUAGAGAUAGAGCUGUCUAAUAUCAUUGGAAGGUUGGAAACAAGAAGACGCAUUCUUGCAUCAAAGUCACGUUACGUUGCCAAUUUAAUCAACACAUUAAUUGUAUAAUAACAACUAUUAAUAUAUAUAUAUAUAUAUAUGUGUGUGUGUGUGUGUGUGUGUGUGAAUAUGUAUGUAAAUAUACAUGUGCAUGCAUACGAGUAUAUGAAUAGGAGGGAUACAUAGAGACAGAUAUUGUUAGUUGGCAAUGCCUCCAAGCAAACCACAAACCUUUUUAUCCUAAAAUUAUCCCUUUUUCUUUUUUUCUGUUAUUUUGUGAUUUUCAUAUAUAUAUAUAUAUAUAUAUAUAUAUAUCUCCUUUCAACUUGUAUAAGUUUGUCUAUAGAUGUUACCCAUUCAUCAUUAAUGCGAUUGCUGUUUAUUGAUAAAGAUGAUGACUGAUGAGUUGUAUAUAUUAUCCACGAAUUCUUGCAUAUCAUGCAUGCAUCAAUCAGUUAAGUAAAAACUGAUUGAAUUCUCGGAUAUGAAAAAAGAUUAUAUGCUCUCUUCAAACAUAUUUUAUGAUUAUAGAUAUGCGGCCAUAUAUAUUAUGGUUUGGUUCAGAUCUACUCAACAUACUUUUGACUUGAUAGUAAUAAUUUCCAAAGCUUUGUUUCUAAACUUACAAAGUACGAACGAGUUACACUUAGCAACACCAGAAUUAUGUAGAUGAAAUCGAUACGAAUUCGUUGAUACUAUUUUCUGCAAUAAAAUGAUUUGUUUGGAUGGAUUAACACGAAUUGACGUGGAUUGCAAGGGCCGACGUGGAAAAUAAAGGUCUAAAUCAAUUAGGAAGGAAGUUAACGGAAACAUACACAACGAAUAAUAUGAGUUUUAUUUUAUUUUAUCAGUAUCAGUUUUCUCAAAAAUAUAGUAGAGAAGUAUAUAAAUACGGCCCCUCACAUCACCCGAUAACCAACUUAUAUAUACACAUUGACACAAAAUUAUUAUUAGAACCAUAUUUGCUUGUUUUUGGAUAAAAAUGUAUGUACGCAUAAAUAUCAUAUACUAUAAAAUAAUAAAUACUUUUUACAACAAUAUUGUUUUUUUAUGGGAUGAAUUUUACGUUUAUUUUAACGGCAUGCUGCUCAGAGGAUCGAUCAGAUUUCUUGGGCAAAGAAUUUUCACAAACUAAUUAACUGGAUAGAACACUAUAUCAGAAUGUAUAACUCUAGUUGCGCUAAUUAAAUAGUCUUUUGUUGUUUGCAUCCAAAAAACUCUAGUGAAUUUCCUGAGGAGUCUAUCCAAUUUUAACUUACCUAAAAGCAUCAAAAUAUAUAUAACACUUACAAAAAAAAAACACCUCACUAGUUUAAACGCGUCUGGGUAAGUAGUCGCUUACAAGACAAAACAUCAUAUAUCUAGUAUAGACAUAUUAUAAUAUAAUGAAACGACAUUAUAUAAAUACCAAAACUGAAAGUGUCAAAGUUUUCACAAUAGGUUAAGAAUACAAAUGUAUAAAACUAAAUUGUUGUCGUCUAAUGGUAAAAAUUAUGCAUACAGUAUAAACUUCUAAUUUUUUUUGGGUGUAAUAAACUUCUAAAUUUGAUUUUUAUUGAGAGCUCUUUGAGUUCUAUUUGAUCCAAAUGGUAUUAUGUUUUAGAUUUUAAGAAUAUUUUAGUAAAUGGAUUACUCGACAUUCUAGUCAUUUUAAAAUUUUAUUAGAUGCUAACAAACUAGAUCAGUGCUAAUUAUAAAAUUUAUAUAAAAUAAAUACAUAAAUAAUAUAAGUUAUAUAAAUCAUGAUUCUCUUACACUCAUAUGAGUUAACUAGCAAAUGAACUAUCAAUUAUCGUUAACGCUCAUAUUCUUGUCAAUCAGAGAAGAUACCUCUUCUUCAACGAAUAAAUUCUUAAUUAAUUAAAGCCAAAUAAUUGAGAUUUUAAUAAUAAACAAUUAGAAGUUAUAUAGUAGUCUGUAUAUUGUGUUCAUUACAACAGCAUUGCAAAAACAAAAACAGCAUUGCAUAUUUGGCUGUAUUAGACCACAUGUUAAUAUAAUCCAAGAAAACAAAACUACGUUUGUUUAAGUUGAUGGGUCAAUUUUUUAAUUAUUGACGAAUGUUUAAACAUGUACAAGGAAAUUGAAAUAAAUAGACCAAUAAUCAAAUAACAAUCCGGAAAGAGAAGUGUGGGCAAACAUGACUAGAAUCACUAGAUGAUGCAUGAUUAUUAUUUUGGUGGAGAGUCUCCCGUGACAACCUUCUCUCUCUGUCUCUCAGCUUUUUUAGGUCUUACUUUUCAAUUUAAAAUUUUCAUUUUCAUGUUUUUUUUUAUGAACACAUCAUUUUCAUGCAUGCUCAUGCACACACACGCGUAUAUAAACGUUGAUACGUUCCUAUAUACAUUUUUUUUGGUAAAUGUUCCGAUAUACAUUUUUUUUUUUGAUAACUCUGGUAUCUGGACAGCCACAUUCCCAACUAUCCCCCGAAAAGGGGUCCAGCGCUCCAACGGAAGGGAUGUUAAAUCCGUUCCGAUAUACAUUGUUCUGAUAUAACUAUUUUUUUGCUUCCAAUGUCAUUUUCUUGUAACUUUGUUUGAUGAGUUUUGUUCCCAUAUGAUACACUAAAAAUGAAUCCUUGCUACUGUCAAGUUAACAGUGGUAAUUGUAAUAUUUGAGAUUCAAUCCAGAUGACCAGUUUACUCUUCACUCUUAUGAGUUCAAUGUCAAGCUGAGAAACAAGUGGGUUUUGAGAAUUAAUUGCGACAAAAGUAACAAGAAUGCCUAGGUAAUUUGAAUUCAAUUUAAAUGAAGCUGGCUUAGGGUCAAUAAUCGGAUGUUACUUGUAGAACUGAACAACUAUUCAAGUGCGAUGAAAUGCGGUCUAGAACUCAGAUCACCAUACCAUGCAGAAAAUCAUGUAUUAUUUACGGGCAACCAGACGCUUUAAUUUUUUUUAAAAAUAUUCCAUCGGCUUAUAAUUUUUUUUAUCAUAGAUUAGAUCGUAAUUAACUAAUUAAUUUUAAAGCGAUAAUAAUGAAUCCAAAAUUGUACAAUACUGAUAUACAUUAUAUACACGUGUGUGUGUAUUUUUGAAUUAAUGGUUUUAUAUAAGUAGAAUUGUCUUUAGAAUACUGUUAUUGCUUCUGUUAUUAAUUAAUGUGUUUAGAAGUUCCUAAUUUUAAAAUUUAGUAGUUUUAUACAAAAAACUAGCAUUUUGUAUUUUAAUCUGAUCAAUUAUAUAUAUAUAUAUAUAUAUAUAUUUUUUUUUUUUUGGUCCUACUCCAAUUUUUACUUUUAAAAAGUUUGAAGUAACAAAUGCUCUUUUUUUUUUUUUUUUUUGUCAUCAACUUUACAGACUCAUAUAGACUCUGUGAACCAAACUGGGAGAUCUUGAUCCAUGUGAACUACAAAAGCUAUCCGCCUUCUUGUUAUGCGUUCUUGGUACAUAGAUAAUCUCUGCGUGGGAAAAACUCUCUUUCAAGCUGUUUAUAUCCUCCAAAUAACUUGCAAAUGCUGGUCAUUCCUCUGGUGUUGAAACCAUCUUCACCAAUUGAAAACAAUCCGUUGCAAACGUAACCUGAAAUUGUCGUAAGUUUUUCAUACAUUCCAUUGCCCAUAACAAGGCUUCCAUUUCUGCAUGAAGGGGAGAAAGUGACGCCCGAACAUUCCUUGCACCCAUCAAACCCGCAAAUCCCUCUAGAGUACUAUACCAUCCUUGGCCUGAAAUAAUAUCAUUUUCUUUCCAGGAACCAUCCGUAAAACACCAUCUUCCUGGGAUUGACGGAAGAAUCAUUGCCCCUACCGGUUGGAUCCUCUUGUUAUCAUUCAAAAUUUGAGCCUCAGCCCAAAGUUUUGAUUCCGCUUCAGCCAGUUUAAGGGUAUCCAACGGAUCCACAUCCAUAUUACUAAAAACUUUAUUAUUUCUUCCCUUCCAUAUAUACCAUAGUAUCCAUGCAAACUGAUGAUCCUCCAUCUGUGGAACAACUCUCCAAAAAAGAUGAUCCAUGUUCACAAAGAGAGAACUUGUUGGAAACAAUCUUGGACAUGUUGGAAUCUUUGAAAGAGCCCAUGUCUGAAGUGUAGGAGGGCAUUCAAAAAACACAUGGUUGAUCGAUUCCUCCUCCGCACCACAUCUUGCACAAACAAUGUCGCCGGGUAUCCCUCGCUUAUGCAGAUUUUUCUUGACUGCUAUACACCAUGUCACCAAUUGCCAUAGAAAAUGUUUAAUCUUUGGUGGACACCGUAUUUUCCAGCAAUAUGCUUUCAAAAUAUCCACUGUGGGUCCAAACACUACUGGUGGUUUUGCCUUAUCUGGAUAUAUCCUUUCAAUCUGAUAUCCAGAUUUAACCGUGUAUUUUCCAUUAUUUGUGAAAUGCCAUCCAUCCUUGUCUGCUAUCAGAGUUCUACUCAAUGGUAUACUCUCUAUUAAUUUCACAUCCUGUGGAUCCACCAAAGCCUGAAUCGCCUGCGAAUUCCAUCGUCGCAAAUGAGGAUCAAUAAGCGACUCCACUGUAAGGUCUGGGUAAAGAUUGUGUUGAUUUUUAUUGGCUGGUCUCGGGCGAGUGGUUGGGAGCCAAGGAUCAUUCCAUACUGAUAUAGAAGAUCCUGUUCCCACCCUUUUGAUUAGUCCUUUGCUUACCAGAGAUCUAGCAGAAACAAUACUCCGCCAACCAUAUGACGGAGAGUAUGAACGAAUCGGUUCCAGGGGUGAAGCAUUCCUGUAGUACCGACCUUUAAAAACUCGAGAAAAUAAAGUAUUUGGCUUUUCUAUCAGCCGCCAUAAUUGUUUACCAAGCAUCGCAGUGUUAAAGUCAGUGAUAUCUUUAAAACCUAAAUCUCCAUCUUCCUUACUUACACAUACUUUGUCCCAUGAUUUCCAAUGCAUCCCUCUUGUACUACCGCAUGGGCUCCACCAAAAUUGUGCUACCGCACUCGUCAAUUUUUUUGCAGUAGCCUUGGGUAAACGAUAACACGACAUCACAUGAUUUGGCAAAGCCGUAAUCACGGAUUUGAUAAUCACCUCUUUUCCUCCUUU